This 55733-nucleotide long non-coding RNA is filed under the name Prunus persica (peach). RNAcentral describes it as "long non-coding RNA (PPER_LNC000643)". The record is from RNAcentral. Lineage: Eukaryota; Viridiplantae; Streptophyta; Magnoliopsida; Rosales; Rosaceae.
AAACAGAGGAAUGAAAAAAUGAGCUCCCUUUAUUUUACUCAUGAAAUUAAUAUUACAUGUAAGUAAGAUGAAUGGAGGGGAGGCCCUAGCUAGCUUCAGAUCUCAGUGAGUCUUCAGUUCACUGCUUCGUCUUCAUCAGUACCGGAGGCCGAGUCGGUUCCUCCACCGGCGUCGACUGGUUACUCUUUCCCUUGGCCUUUAUAGAUGCGGGUGUUGCCAAGCUCAAAAAUUCCUACUCUCUCCGAUUUUAUCCCCGUAAUAUUAUUCCCAACGAUGUUGAAGUCAUUGCCUCUCCCGCCCUUGUCUUUUUUCUUGGGUUGGAGAGUUUUAGUGCUCACUGAUGGGGAUUUCGAGCUGUUGCUGUUUUGUUGGUCGGUGUUCGCCUUAGAAGAAUCCUUAGAACCUUGUUUCUGAUCACCAAGCUGAGGCUUCAGAUAUAGCCAGCCGGUAGACAUUUUCACCGUCUGGGAUCCUUGUCUGGAGGUAUCGAUAAUUGGCUGCUUGUGUGCCAAACAAAACUCUUUUUCUUUAUAUAUAAGACAAAGCAACCAAUUGGCAGAGCACGCGGGUCCAUUGUACCCCAUUAGUAAGUUGAAUAAAGAAGAGAAGUGAGUAAAAAAAUUUUGCUCAUGUGGGUGUGAACCUGUUUAACAAUUGCGCUUCAUGAUAACAAUAGAAAUUUGAUGGGGUUAGUAAUUUUAAUUGUUUAUCAUUAAUAAAGUUUACAUAAUUAAUUAGCAUUUGUAAUCAUGCAAUUACCUUUUUCUAAUGAUAAUUUAUUUAAUAUUAGUAGCAGCCGUCACCAUUUCAAUUUGGAUCUACAAAUAUUUUUUAUGUCCCAUCAUGUGAAAGAAACAUGAACACCAAUAGGAAAAACGAAAAUUUUCCACCCACAUAAAGUACCUUCGUCUUGACUAUACUACUCCAAGAUGAUUAUCAGGAUUCUUUUUUUAUUUAUUAUUCCCAUUUUUAUCCUCACCUCUAUACAAGAUGGGUCUCCAAAUGAAGCUGAAUACCUGCACAAGGAGAUGGCAACAAAACCCUUUACUGGUCCCUCUAGAAAAGUUUCUGAAACUCAAACAGAGCUCCCACGAAAAGAAACUGAAACAGUGCUCCCACAAAAAGAUACUGAAUCAGAGCUCCCGCAAAACAGAACUAGUGAGGCAGAAAAUAGUAAUAACCAGACCUGGAACAUUCGUGAGAAUGUAAUUACCGGAGCAGAAAGCAGAAACGUUGGGGUUUUCGACUUUGGCAACGAAUAUCAUGAAGGUGGUGCUGUUGAUCAUCAUCAAGGAAGGAAGGGUCAAAACAACAGAGACUACAACAUUGAUGGCAACAAGAUUGAUUCAAAAGAUGGGGAGUUUGUUGGGAUCGGCAAAUUUGGCAACAAGUACUACAACCCGAGGAAAGAAGAAGGAACGAGCAAGAAGCCAUGGUAUAAGUUUUGGUAAAAAUAAACGAGAGAAAGUAAGGGAGCUGCGCUGCUGAAUAAAGAAAGAGGGUGGAGUUCAUUUCCAUUUUAAAGUCCAUGUCUUUGUUUCUUUGUAGUGUCUACUAUUUGAAUGUGGUUAGUUACAGUAUUGGAGUUGAGAAUCUGGUCGCUUGGGUCGAUCUGUGGAAUUUAAAAUAUUGAUUUGCAGCAUGAAAAAUACGUUCUAAAUGAGAAAAGUAGGGAUUAUGAACCCCGAUGCCAUGUGGGUCUUGAUCAAAAUCAUAGAAGGAUCAACCCCUAACAUAUACUCAUCAGUAAUCUGUGUGUAUUUGAAUUUAUUAAUUUGUGCAAACGAGAAGAGGAAACUUUCCCGCAUUCGAAUGCCAUGAACACCUGAAAGCUUAAUUCUGAGCAUGAGAAAGAACUAAUAGCGAAGAAAUCUGACUUAUUGAUUGCCACAAAACCAGUCCAUCCAUAAAUCUAGUUUUUCCUGCCCCAUAACAUGUGGUAGAGUCUUGACCUGCCCCAUAAGAUCUAGUUUUUUGCCAACUAUUUAUUUUUGUUCUUCUCAGUCGUGCCCUUUUUUUACUCAAGCCGCUUGUAUCAUUUUUUGUUUUGCUUACUCACCAUUGAUAUAUAAAAGAGAAAAGAAGAAGCAAUAACUAGAAGAACAAGAAGACCAAGAAGAAAUGGUACGCUCGACUUCUUGUUGUACUUGUUGCCAACUUCUUUUUUCUUUUUUCUUCCCAAAGAUGUUAAACAUUUCUUAAUCUCCUUUCUUUUUUCUUUUGCUUCUCUGUUUGAAUUUUCUCUCUUUUUGGUUUUGCUUACUCUCACAGUGGCUAUGAAACAAAAAGGCUAGAACAAGAAGAAAUAAUACUCAUGGCAUGUACACAAGAAGAAAAAGAAAUAAUACUUACUCAGCAUAUAUCAAUAUACUUAUGGCAUGUAGAAGAUGAAGAAAUACAUAAAUAUAUAUAAGAGAAAUAAGAUUCAGAUUCAAGGAAAGGAACGCAAAGAAAAGUUUGAGUAUAGGAGCUCUAGUGGCCAUACAUCUCCAAACCCUUCCACUACGUAAUAGUAUGGGAAACUCCAAACCGAAUAUAUCUUUCUUUCUCACUUACUGAUUUUUCUCUUCUUUUUCUUCUUGGUCGUGCCUUUUUUUUUUCAAUCAAGCCGCUUGCUUCAUUUUUUGCUUUGCCUACUCACCGUUAAUAUAUAUAAAAAAGCUAGAACAAGAAGAACAAGAAGACCAAGAAGAAAUGGUAUGCUCGAGUUUUUGUACUUGUUGCCAACAUUCCUAAUCCCAACAUCUGCACUGUUAAUUGCGGCGAUAUUAUUAUUAGUAAUAUUGUUGGUCUCAUUGCUUUCAUCAAUAUUUUUUGCCUCACGAUUUUCAUUUUGCUGGGGCUCUUGUUUAGAUCUUUCUUCUUGGGACUCUUCUCCAAAAAGCAUUCUAGGAUGACCAAGAAAGUGAUUUCUUACCCUCCCCUGUGGCCUCUGUUUCAGUUGUUCAGCUUCAGUUCGAUAUCGAGACCCAUCUUAUAUAUAUGCAAAGAUAAAAGUGGAAAGAUCUUCAAAUAAGUGGAGGCCAAUACUCCAAAAAUCAAAUGAAAGACAAUCUUUCAAUAAUUUGGCUGCUUGCGUGCCAAAAAAAGUAACUAUUGUUUCUAAUUGUAAGUGAAGCUAAACUAAACUCUUCUUCUUUAUCUAAUAGACAAUGUGAGAAUAUAAUUAAUCAAGCUCUCUUUCGGUUACAGUAGAUAUAUUAGUGUUUGUCGAAAGUGAAGAUAGAAAGAUAGUAAAGCAACCAAUUGGCAUAGAAUGUGUGGCCAUUGUCCCCAACAAACAUGUGGUGUAAAUUUUGGACCAUACCAUGAAGGAAAGUUGAGAUUCCACUACAAAGCCAAUUGAUUUUAGAAAAAUAGCCCAACUCCUUAUAAGUAUACAUAACUUUUCAAUGCGGGACAAUACUCUUAACAGUUUGAAUGCACCACGAUCUCUCUCCUAGUCAAAGUCCAAAGGUUCACACCACCCUUUCAGACUCCCCUCAUGAAAAAAGCAAAAUAGGGCGGUGUGUGCGACCCCAUUUUCGUUUGGGUUGGGUGGGUGCAGUAAUUUUCAGGAUCAAGUAGACCUUUUUUCUUUUUUAAUUGUACUAGAAUUUAGGUCCAGCUAAGCCCUAUCGUAAUUAUUGUUAUACAUUCGUGGCAUGAAAAUAAAGUUAAGAAUCUCUGCAAAGAAUUCUUGUUCAUUCUAAGAAAUAUCUCAUACAGUACCCGCGUGGUAACUAACCUAAACAGAAAUUAAAAAGUCAAAAUAAUAUGCCGAAUAAAAAAAAUGAAAUAAAAAUUCAGUUAAAAAAAUAAAAAUAAAAAGGUCCACCAGAUCCUGAAAAUCAAACACUGCACCCCAAAUAAAAAUGGGGUCCCACGCAUCACCGGCCUAUUUGCCCUUUUGGCGUGCGGAGAGUGUGAAAGGGUGGUGUGAAUCUUUGGACUUUGAAUAGGAGAGAGUGUCAGGGUAAGGAGUUUUUCAGGGGUAAACGAAGACUGGUUCACUGGUUGGUAUGUAAAUGGUUUACUGGUUGGUAAAUGGAGACUGGUUGGUAAAUGUAAUGAUGACAAUAUUCAAUUACAUUAACUUGGACCUUAUUUUUUGGUUGGCCAUGGAGUCAAAAGAGUUUAUGGCUUGCUUUGGGCACGUGGGUACUAUCUUAGAGCAUCUCUAAGAGAUAUGCCAAAUACCAAACAUUAAAUUUAAAUUUAAUGGUUGAUGUAGUAAUUUGACAUCUUACACAGCUUUUCAUUUCAUCUGAUAUGUCAAAUUAAAUUAUUAUUUUAUUACAUUUUAGUGUUGAUUCAUUUUUAAUUUUAAAAAAAAAAAAGAAAAGAAAAAAUAAUAAAAUAUUCAUUUAAUAUCUUGCUUUUGGAAUGUCAAAAAUAAAAUCCCAACCUCCAACCUUCAAUCCACAUCAGGUUUGACAUAUCGGUUGGAGUGAUGUGAGAUGUUAUUUCUAACUGUUGAAUGUCUAUGUGGCACGUUUGACACAUCGAUUGGAAAUGCUCUUAGGGAUCAAUGGAAUUUCUCUCCUAAUCUCCUCAAACCCAAUCAAAAUUGUUAAACGGAAACCAUCAGGUUUAAACACACAUGAACCAAAGUUAUUCAACUUACUUAUGGGGUGUAUAAACUGGUGUUGAGAGAGUAAUAGCGUGAGAGGAAGCUCAGUAUAGUCAGCCGACCUUGAGAAUUUUGCCCAUCAACAAACUUUCUAGACAACUUUAUUAGACCGUCACACACAUCACUCAUUAGACAAGAAAUUAGUGACAGAGCCAUAAAAUUUAACAGAAAAGGAACCUCAAAUAUUAAAAUAUAUUUUUCUUACGAUGACAUUUGAACUAAUUUUUUUCUUUUCUUCUUGAAAUAUAUAGACUUUGCCAAAAAGUACUGUGUGUGGAGAGGGUUAGUGAUUUUCCUUUCUUCUUUUUUUUUUUUUCCCUUUUUUCUCCCAAACCUCGAUGGUGCUAGUGCAUUUAUUAAAAAUAAAAUAAAAGAAUUGCAAAUUAACAAUCCAAAAUUAAGCAAAAUAAAGAUUAGGCAAACCAAAUCAAUAUAACCUAAUCACACAAAAAAUAAUAAAUACACCGGGCCCACCAAGUGAGAAGAAAUCAAGGAUAAAAUAGUUUGCAAAGCAAUUACCACCCCACCUAAUUACCCUAGCAGACAUUAUCAAGACUCAAGUGAGAGGUCAUGUCAAGAAUGCAAAAUAACAAUAAGGAUUUUCAGUCGUUUUAUUCUGAAGUUGAUAACAAUAUUAGUUAGUUUGUAUUCAGUUAAGCUGUCAUGUGUGUGCUUAUGUGUUGUUAGUUAGUAUUAGCUGUAAUAAGUCUUGGUUAGUGAGAUAUAUAAUACUGAUGACACUACGAUUGUAUUCAUUUCCUGUGAAAUCAAUAUAGAAAGCAUAUCAUUUUCUCUUGAAUCUUCUUCUUCUUCUUCUUAGCUUUCUUAAUUCUUAAGCUUCCUCUUCUAAAUUGUUAACAUGGUAUCAAAAGCCAUGGUUCGAUCCUGAGUUUUUUCUGCUUCCGAUGUCUAUGCCUUGACACUCUUUUCUGGAACUCCAUGAAAAUCGACGUCGAUAUCAGAUUCUUCCACUUCAUUAUUGGAUUCUCAAUUUCGUCAAACUACCUUAAGGAUUCUAUUCAACUUGCUAUUGGGGAUUUUCAGUCUCCUCUUUGAUUCGAGUGUAUUUUCAUUGUUCUUGCUCGCUUGCUACUCACUUUUGGGGGUUUUCUAUGAGAUUGCUGAUUUCAAGCCUUCAAAUUGAGGAUUUCUAAAUCCAUAUAUAUUUCGCGUAAUUCUCCAUUGAUUUACGAAUUCAAAGACCCAUCGAUUGGGAUUUGUUGAUGUUCUGGUGGCAUUCGAUGUUAUUGAUGGAUUGUUGCUCAUGUUAGCGUUUUUCGAUUGGGAUUUGUUCUACUCAAAUUGUCAAAUUGUGGUUGUUCAAAUUGCUUCGACUCACUGACUUCAAUUUCAUGUUUGUCUAUGGAGGUUGUAUUUUCUCAACUUUGAUAUGUGGUGGAUUUCAGAUUGUUAGUUGCAUUUCUACUAUUUGCGUCUUAUGGAUGUUCUUUUGGUAUUUCUGUUGUUCAUCCUCUAUCUCUUCCUAUGUUCAAAGAUUCAAGUUUUCUCUUCACCUUUGAUUGAUAGUUACUGUAGUCGCUCCCAAAUCAAACAUUGAAUUCCUUGCUAUAAACUCACCUUCCUGUUCUUGAAUACAUCACCGUGGGUCAAAUAUUAAUGGUUCAUUUGUUAUUUACUCACCGUUAAUAUAUAUAUGUAUAAAUUAAAAUUAAAAUUAAAAAAAGCUAGAACAAGAAGACCAAGAAGAAAUGGUACGCUCGAGUUGUUGUACUUGUUGCCAACAUUCCUAAUCCCAACAUCUGCGCUGUUAAUUGCAGCGAUAUUAUUAUUAUUAAUAUUGUUAGGCUUGUUGCUUUCAUCAGUAUUUUUUUCUCACGAUUUUCAUUUUGCUGGGGCUCUUGUUUAGAUCUUUCUCCUUGGGACUCUUCUCCAAAAAGCCUUCUAGGGUGACCAAGAAAGUGGUUUCUUACCCUCUCCUAUGGGCUCUAGUUCAGUUGUUCAGCUUCAGUUCGAUAUCGAGACCCAUCUUAUAUAUAUGGAAAGAGAUAAAAGUGGAAAGAUCUUCAAAUAAGUGGAGGCCAAUACUCCAAAAAUCAGAUGAAAGACAAUCUUUCAAUAAAUGGAAGUUACUAUUGUAAACUAAUCACAUAAAUUCCUUAAACCCUAUACACAUGUUGAAAUCGCAUCAAGGAAAAAUCUUGAAUCAAAUAAAAAUAUUAAUCAUAAUAGUACUUACCUGCCAUUGAUGAAAGCUCAAAAGAAAGUCUUCUACUCUCUGUAGGGUUCUUAUGUUCAACUAGCAAUACGAAGUAGUUGUUUUGAAAGUGUGUUUCUAAGAAAGCACGGUUCUCUUUAAAUCAGUUGGAAGCCAGUGGGUGGAGAACGUUCGAGAUUUCAAUUUUUUUUCCUUCAAACCUAAAGGGUGUAUCUAAUUCAUACUUUUAAUAACUUUUAUCGAGUUUAAAAGUUUAGAAGUAUUCAAUUUAAACUUUUAACGAGUUUAUAAAAGUCUAGUGGUAUUCAAUUGUGACUUCUUAAAAGUUUGACUGUAUCCAAUUAUGACUUUUAAAAAGUCUUAAAAUUUUUUUGGGGCUAUCCAAAAAGUUAAUGACUUUUAAAAAGUUGGGUUUUUAGGUCUAAUGGUCCCCGAAUUUUGACCCGAUUCGCAUUUUAGUCCCUUAAUUUCAAAAAACAUUCCCAUGGUCCUUCAACUUCAGUUUUUUUUAGGACAAAUGGUCAUGCCGUCAAUUUUGUUAACUAUUUCUGUUAAAUUGGGGGCAAAUUGAUAUUUUUGUAUUAAAACAAAAAAAAUGGUUUUUUUUAAAAAUCAAAAAUUAAAAAUAUAUAUAUAUCUCAAUCUCUCUCUCCCCUCCCUCCUUCUAUCCCAAUUUCUUCCCCCACAGCCACCCUCCACCCAGCGCCCCUCUUCGAUUUUUGUACAAAGGUCAAGGAAGAAUAGCAAACCUGGGUUGGAGAGGGGAGGGGGGAGGAGGAGGGGUUCUGGGUUCGUUGGGGGUUUAGGGUCCAGUGGUCAGGGGGGAAAAGAAAAUUGAAGGGGAAGGGGUGCUGGGUGAAGGGUGGCUGUGGGUUGCCCUCUUUGCUCUCUCUUUCUCUCAUCUGAAUCUUGAGUAUACAGGCAAGCUUCCUUGUUCCUGAUAGAAGGAGAGGGUAGAGAGAGAGAGAGAGAGAGAGAGAGAGAGAGAGAGAGAGAGAGAGAUUUAUUUUUAAUACAAAAAUACCAUUUUGCCCCUGUAUUUAACAGAAAAGAUAACAACAUUGACGACAGGACCAUUUGUCCUAACGAAACUGAAGUUCAAGAACCACAUGAACGAUUUUGAAAAUUGAAGGACCAAAAUGCUAAUCGGGUCAAAGUGUUUCAUAUACUUUUUAUGCAUAUUUACUGGUGACUUUCAUUAACUCUAUGAAAGUGUUUAAGAAUAUGUCAAUUCUAUCAAAGUUAUUCACUAAAUAAGUAUUUAUAAGAGCAUCUCCAAUAAUAGUAGCAUGUUUUUUUUUAACUUUUUAAAGUAAAAUUAAAUGUUUUGAAGAGCCAAAGUCAACAUAUCAGUCUUGAAGAGAGAGAAAGAGGUUGCAACUUUGAUGACUAAGUUUGACAAGUCUGUUGGAGAGAUUUUUUUCAAAAUCAAAUAAUGAAUAGGUAAGCUUCCUUUUUGCAAGCUUUAUCUCUUUUUGAUUAAUUAUGAGUUUGCAAUCUUAGUUGGGAUGCAUAUGCUAGAGUUUCUUCUAUCAUACGUGAUCGUUAGUGGAGGCUCACCAGAUUGUUUUAAUUUUGAUGUUAUAUCUCUCCAUUAUUGUAAUGGCCCUUUAUGACUAGUUUAUAUUGGCCCUUUGUGACUAUGACUUUUUUAAUUGAGUUAUGAAUGCAAUCCCUGAAAUUUGAAAAAAUAAUAAUAAUUAUAAAUCAUGAUGGAUAGUGUAGUCAAAAGGUACUUCGUGUGGAAAAAAUGUUUGACUUCUUUGGAUAUUCACAUGCACGUUUGAAAAUGUGAGAAAAUAAUCAAUCAAGCUCUCUCUUUUGGUUACAAUAGUAACAGUGGCGAAACCAGAAUUUUAUAUAUGUGAAGCAUCUCACAAAAUAUAAACAAUAAAAAAUUCGAACUCAAGACAUACCAAAACAUCAAAGAGAAAAGAAGAAGCAAUAACUAGAAGAACAAGAAGACCAAGAAGAAAUGGUAUGCUUGACUUCUUGUUGUACUUGUUGCCAACUUUGCUAAUCCCAACUGCUAAAAUAUGAAAACUAUAAGAGAAUAUUUGUUUGUGGGAAUUUUCUGUGUAUUCUUCUCCUUGUAGGAGGUCAUAUUUAUAAUACAACAAAACCUGAAUGGGCAAAUAAAUAAUAAAUUCCUAAAUCCAUUUACAGUAGGAAAUCAGGAAUUAAAGUAGAUCAAUUACAAUUAUAAUAGGAAUUCUUGGUGUGUAAGGAAAGUAAGUCAAUAUCCACAAGUCACGCCAACACUCCCCCUCACGUUGGUGCAUAGAUGUUGCCAAUGCCCAACUGAUCCAAUGAAUUGUGGAAUGCUUUACUGGAAAUUGCCUUUGUCAAAAUAUCCGCCAAUUGAUCCUCGGAUUUCACAAAAGGAAACUGAAACACUUUAGCCUCAAGCUUCUGUUUGAUGAAGUGUGGAUCCAUCUCAACAUGUUUAGUACGAUCAUGCUGAACCGGAUUCUGUGCAAUGGCUAUAGCAGCCUUGUUGUCACAAAAGAGAUUCAUUGUGGAUGUAGGUUUAUACCCAAGUUCAGUAAGCAACUUUCUUAACCAAAGAAGUUCACAAAUCCCUUUAGUCAUGCCUCUGAACUCAGCUUCUUCAUUGGAUAAAGCUACUACAUUCUGUUUCUUACUCCUCCAUGUCACCAAAUUACCUCCCACGAAUGAGAAGUAACCCGAUGUGGAUUUUCUAUCUGUUACAUUACCUGCCCAAUCUGCAUCUGAAUAACCAUCAAUAUUUAGAUGACCGUGCUUUGAGAACAUAAGUCCUUUUCCAGGUGCAGACUUCAAAUAUCUAAGUAUCCGAAGAACUGCAUUCAUGUGGUCUUCACUUGGAGAGUGCAUAAAUUGACUGACAACGCUCACCGCAUAAGCAAUGUUUGGUCGAGUAUGUGACAAAUAGAUCAAUCUUCCCACUAACCUUUGGUAUCUUUCUUUGUUAGUUGGAACUUGAUCCGGAUAUUCUCCAAGAUGAUGAUUCUGAACAAUAGGAGUGUUCGCAGGUUUGCAAUCUAGCAUUCCUGUGUCUGUCAACAAGUCCAAGACAUAUUUUCUUUGAGAGAGAAAUAUGCCUUGCUGCGAUCAAGCCACCUCAAUUCCCAUACUUGAGUCCACCUAGAUCCUUCAUCUCAAACUCAGUAGCCAAAUAGUCUUGUAGCUGUGAUAUUUUCUGUUUAUCAUUCCCAGUAAUAAUCAUAUCAUCAACAUAGGUUAUUAAUGCUGUUACCUUUCCUUUCCGAUGUUUGAAGAACAAAGUAUGAUCUGAGUUGCACUGUUUGAAACCAUUGUUCUUCAUUGCAUGGUGAACCGUCCAAACCAUGCACAUGGUGACUGUUUCAAUCCAUACAAUGAUUUUCGUAACCUGCAAACUGUUCCAGUCUGAGUAGUAUUAUAUCCAGGAGGAAUGUCCAUGUACACCUCCUCCGUGAGUUCGUCAUGUAGAAAAGCAUUCUUUACAUCAAACUGGUGUAGUGGCUAAUCCAAAUUAGCUGCAAGGGACAAUAAGACUCUGACGGUGUUUAACUUUGCAACUGGUGCAAAAGUUUCUUCAUAGUCUAUAUCAUAGGUCUGUAUGUACCCUUUUGGUACAAGUCUUACCUUGUAUCGCUCGAUAGAUCCAGCUGCAUUGUGUUUUAUAGUAAACAUCCAUCUACAUCCGAUAGUCUUUUUUCCUUGUGGUAUAGUCUCCAAUGUCCAAGUCUGAUUUUUCUCAAGAGCUUUCAUCUCCUCUUUUAUAGCUUGGACCCACUUAGGAUCUUUCAAUGCUUCAAAGACCUUGGUUGGAAUAUGGAUAGCAGACAACUGAUGCACAAAAGCCUUGAGUGGUUCAGACAGCUUCUCAGUGGAUACAUGAUUUGCAAUUGGAUACUUGGAUGUCUUGCCAAUAUCAAGUGAAUAACGGUUUGGUGGCUUUCCACGAUUUUGCCUGAAAGGUAAUUGAUAUCCAAUAGUUUUAUCCUCUAAAUGCACAAGUCUAGUAGGAGUAUUUACCUCAAAGAUAUUUUCAGGAGAUUGGUCCGUUGGUACUGUUGAAUGAGAGGGGGGUCUUCAUCUUGUUGUUCUGAGUUGUCUGUAGGAGUAUGACUCGAAUCAAAAACAGCUUCGCAAGGGUUAGGCGAUCGAUCGUUGUUUGGCAGAGAGCAUUCGCACAUGCUAGACUCGGGACGAUCUAUUGUUAUUGUUUCUUGGCCGAGAGCAAUCUUCGUGCAUAGAUGAAUAUCCUCAUUUUCCAAGCUGGUCCAAUUGAGCUCUUCACUCGGUUUCUCCCCCUAAAGAGUAUAAUUGGAUGCUGGGUCAUAGAAGAACAUAUCUGAUUCCAGAAAGGUGACAUCCAAAGUGACAUAGGUUCACCGGGUAGGAGGGUGAUAACAUUAGUAACUUUUCUGAUGAGUGGCAUAACCCAAAAAAACACAACGAAGCGCACAUGGAUCAAGUUUGCUUCGUUGAUUUUUGUGGAGAUGAACGAAGGCCACACAGCCAAAAAUGCGAGGGGUAAGCACCAAAACAGAGGGCAGAGGCCCGUGUUGUGCGAGCACUUGUAAUGGAGUUUUGAAGUUCAAGACCCCAGAUGGCAUACGGUUGAUAAGGUGGACAGUAGUGACGACAGCAUCAUCCCAGUGAUGAUGAGGAACAUGGCCACCAAUGAGAAGAGCACGGGCUGUUUCAAGGAGAUGACGAUUCUUCUGUUCGGCAACACCAUUUUGUUGUGGUGUCUGGGGGCAAGUUGUCUCAUGAAUAAUGCCAUGUGUCUGGAAGUAAGUCUGAAAAUCAUGAUUAACAAAUUCUCCGCCGUUGUCAGAGCGAAGAAUCUGUAUUCGAGCAUUGAACUGUGUUUCCAUCUAUUUGUGAAAGGAUUGGAACAGGGAAAACACUUCAUUCUUAUUUUUCAUCAAAUAAAGCCAUGUCCCGUGUACAAUCAUCUACGAAUGUGACAAACCAACGAAUACCGGAAUGAGUAGAAAUAGGUGAGGGUCCCCAAACAUGAGAAUGAAUUAAAGCAAAAGGAAUAGUACUUUUAUUCAUACUUAAAGGAUAGGAUGCUCUAUGACUCUUGGCUAGAAUGCAAGUGUCACAUUUAAAAUCUGAGUCCUUAAAUACAGAAAACAACUCUGGCAAUAAGUGUCUCAUAUAACUAAAAGAGGGAUGCCCCAAACAUCGGUGCCAGAGCCAAAUUUGUCGGUGCUUGUCAUUAGAUGGAUGCUUCACACUAUUGGCAUGUCCCAUACUGAAGUCAUCCACAUAGUACAACCCUCUUCUUUUAGUACUACGCCCAAUGAUCUCCUUGGCGAGAAUAUCCUGUAGUAAACGAAAAUUGGGAUAAAUUAGUACACAACAAUUUAGUUGUUCAGUUGCCUGACUCACAGACAUUAAUUUAUUGGACAAAGAUGGAACGAGUAAAGUUUUAGAAAAGGACAGAGAAGGUGAAAGGGCAACAGGAUAGGUAACUCCAUUUGCAUUGGCAAUACUUGUGCGGCGGGGUGUAGUGGUGUGCAAAAAAUCAUUCGGAUCAAAGGUCAUAUGAUCAGUGGCGCCAGAAUCAAUUAUCCAACCAGUAGUAUCUCGUAGAUCAGAAGUAUGAAAUGCAUAACCAAAGUUACCUGAGACAUCCAGAAGCACGAGACUAUCAGUAGGAUCUACCUGCGGGAACAAGGCUAAUGGGGGUUCGGUAGAGACAAGAGUAGCACGGCCGGAAUUACUAGCAGUUUAUCUGAGCUUGCGAGCGCGGAGGUCCUCCCACAAAUCUGGAUAACCAUUCAGCUUAAAACAGGUGUCACGGGUAUGUUUGGGUUGCCACAGUGCGUGCAACCACUUCCAUCAGUCGGAGCCUUGGGACGGGAAGGUGGGAUGGUUUUAGGAAGUGUUACACCAGCAGUAGUAGCAUAUGAUUGAAUCUGAAGGUGGGCUGCAAUAGAGGAAUUAUGGGGCUGUCCGGCACGAGUAGGGGGACCUGAUCGAGGCGCACUCUUGGCCGCUAAGCCAGCGCCAGUGGGUGCAGAUGCACCCAUCAUCACUGCUUGUCGAACAUCUUCACGGUGAACAUAAGCAUAAGCUUGGUCCACAGUAGGGAAUGGAGUCAUGUGAAGAACAUCACUUUGGGCCUUAUCAAGACGAUUAUUAAGGCCAUCCAAAAAUAUGUAAACUCGAUCUUCCUGCAGAAUAUCAUUAUAGCGCUUGAUAUCACUUUCAUACUCCAUUAUAUUUGGACGACGGAAAUCAAUUUCUCUCCAUAAGCUUUGGAGAGUAUUGUAAUAGGUUUCAAUGGAGCCACCAACUUGUCGCAUACGAGAGACUUGUCGUUUCAGAUCAUAAACCUGAGAGGUGUCAGUGCCAUCAUAGUAAGUUGUGGCAAUUGCAUCCCACACUGCUUUUGCCGUCGAAAAAUGAAUGAAAUUGCCAAUCAAGCUCUGCUCCAGAGAAUUGAUGAGCCAUCUCUUCACAAUAGAGUUCUCGAUGCGCCAGCGAGGAAACGUUGGAGCGGUCGAAUGAGGUUGUGGAAGAUCGCCAUUAAUAUAUCCCAAUUUAUCUUUGCCGGAGAUAUACAACUCUACAACUUGGGACCAUAGGGCAUAGUUGGUGCCAUCCAACUUUAUGCCAAUCUGUGUAGCGGAAGCUUCAUAGGUAAUUGUCGUCAGAAUCGUUGUCUGAUUUGAGUUCAAGGUCGUCGUCUGAUUCGAGUUCGGGGUCGUCGUCUGAGUCGAGGUCGGGGUUGUCUUGGUAGGAUCCUGAUUUAGGAUCAAUUUUGAGGUCUGAGUCUGCAUCUGCAUUAGUUGAGCCACCUGGGCACUCAACUCGGCUAUGGUUGGUUGAGAAGGAGAAGAGGAAGCAGUGGUGCUACCGCCAUGAGGAUUAGAAGAGUCAUCCUCCCCCAUGGUGGCGGCUAGGGUUUAGAAACUAGAGUCAGCCAUCCCAAGAUCGCCGCUCUGAUACCAUGCUAAAAUAUGAAAAUUAUGAGAGAAUAUUUGUUUGUGGGAAUUUUCUGUGUAUUCUUCUCCUUAUAGGAGGUUAUAUUUAUAAUACAACAAAACCUGAAUGGGCAAGUAAAUAAUAAAUUCCUAAAUCCAUUUACAGUAGAAAAUCAGGAAUUAAAGUAAAUCAAUUACAAUUAUAAUAGGAAUUCUUGGUGUGUAAGGAAAGUAAGUCAAUAUUCACAAGUCACACCAACACCAACACGCUCGCCUUUGUUUGCAUAAAAUGUAUUGCCACAAAUGUUGUGGUUUCGACCCCUCCUUGGUUGAUGAACAUCAACACCACCUCCACCUUUUUCGUUGUAAGCAUCGUGAAUCCCAAUAUCCGUGCUUUCAAUUGCGAAGAAAUCAUUCUCAUUAAUGUUGAAGGUCUCGUUGCCUUCAUCAGUAUUUUCUGCCUCAUUAUUUUUGUUACCAUGCCGGUAUUGUAUAUGUAUGAAAUAUUUCUUAGAAUGAACAAGAAUUCUUUGUAGAGAUUUGUAACUUUCUUGUUUUGUUUAUGGUACUGGAAAUGACUUUCUGUUUUUAGGUAUAUCUCUCAAUCUCUCUCUCCCCUCCCUCCCUCUAUCCUGAUUUCUUCCCCCACAGCCACCCUCCACCCAGCGUCCCUCUUCGAUUUUUGUACAAAGGUCAAGGAAGAAUAGCAAACCUGGGUUGGAGGGGGGUGGGGGGAGGAGGAGGGGUUCUGGGUUCGUUGGGGGUUUGGAGUCCAGUGGUCAUGGGGGAAAAGAAAAUUGAAGGAGAAGGGGUGCUGGGUGAAGGGUGGCUGUGGGUUGCCCUCUUUGCUCUCUCUUCCUCUCAUCUGAAUCUUGAGUAUACAGGUAAGCUUCCUUGUUCCUGAUAGAGGGAGAGGGUAGAAAGAGAGAGAGAGAGAGAGAGAGAGAGAGAGAGAGAGAGAGAGAGAGAGAGAUUUAUUUUUAAUACAAAAAUACCAUUUUUCCCCUGUAUUUAACAGAAAAGAUAACAACAUUGACAACAGGACCAUUUGUCCUUGUCCUAACGAAAUUGAAGUUCAAGAACCACAUGAACGAUUUUGGAAAUUGAGGGACCAAAAUGCUAAUCGGGUCAAAGUGUUUCAUAUACUUUUUAUGCAUAUUUGCUGGUGACUUUCAUCAACUCUAUGAAAGUGUUUAAGAAUAUGUCAAUUCUAUCAAAGUUAUUCACUAAAUAAGUAUUUAUAAGAGCAUCUCCAAUAAUAGUAGCAUGUUUUUUUUUAACUUUUUAAAGUAAAAUUAAAUGUUUUGAAGAGCUAAAGUCAACAUAUCAUUCUUGAAGAGAGAGAAAGAGGUUGCAACUUUGAUGACUAAGUUUGACAAGUCUGUUGGAGAGAUUUUUUCAAAAUCAAAUAAUGAACAGGUAAGCUUCCUUUUUUCAAGCUUUAUCUCUUUUUGAUUAAUUAUGAGUUUGCAAUCUUAGUUGGGAUGUCUAUGCUAGAGUUUCUUCGAUCAUGCGUGAUUGUUAGUGGAGGCUCACCAGAUUAUUUUAAUUUUGAUGUUAUAUCUCUCUAUUAUUGUAAUAGCCCUUUAUGACUAGUUUGUAUUGGCCCUUUGUGACUAUGGCCUUUUUAAUUGAAUUAUGAAUGCAAUCCCAGAAAUUUGAAAUAAUAAUAAUAAUUAUAAAUCAUGAUGGAUAGUGUAGUCAAAAGGUACUUCGUGUGGAAAAAAUGUUUGACUUCUUUGGAUUCACAUGCACGUUUGAAAAUGUGGGAAAAUAAUCAAUCAAGCUCUCUCUUUCGGUUACAGUAGUAACAAUGGCGAAGCUAGAAUUUUAUGUAUGUGGAGCAUCUCACAAAAUAUAAACAAUAAAAAAUUCGAACCCAAGACAUACCAAAACAUCAAAGAGAAAAGAAGAAGCAAUAACUAGAAGAACAAGAAGACCAAGAAGAAAUGGUAUGCUUGACUUCUUGUUGUACUUGUUGCCAACUUUGCUAAUCCCAACACGCUCGCCUUUGUUUGCAUAAAAUGUAUUGCCACAAAUGUUGUGGUUUCGACCCCUCCUUGGUUGAUGAACAUCAACACCACCUCCACCUUCUUUGUUGUAAGCAUCGUGAAUCCUAAUAUUCGUACUUUUAAUUGCGAAGAAAUCAUUCUCAUUAAUGUUGAAGGUCUCGUUGCUUUCAUCAAUAUUUUCUGCCUCAUUAUUUUUGCUUUGCUGCUCCUUCUCUUUGGGGCUCUUGUCCAGAAAGCGUUCUAGGGCGACCAGAAAAGAUGUUUCUUAUCCUCUCUUGGAGGCUCUGAUUCAGUUGUUCAGCUUCAGAUUGAGAUCGAGACCCAUCUUAUGUAUGUGCAAAGAUAAAAAAGGAAAGAUCUUCAAAUAAGUGGAGGCAAAUACUCCAAAAUCAAUUGGAAGACAAUCUUUCAAUAACUGGAAGUUUCUAUUGUAAACUAAUUACAUAAAUUCCUUAAACCUUAUACACACAUAGAAUCACAUCAAGGAAAAGAUCUUGAAUCAAAUAAAAUUUCCUACUCUCUCCGAUUUUAUCCCCGUAAUAUAUUAUUCCCAACGAUGUUGAAGUCAUUGCCUCUUCCGCCCUUGUCUUUUUCUUUUGGGGUUGGAGAGUUUUGGUGCUCAAGGAAAAGAGAAGUUCACAUUAAUUAUAUAAUAAAUUAUAAUUAGUGCUUGUAAUUAUCAAUUAUCAAGCUAAUUGAUUACGUUGAGAUUAUAAUUAUCUUGCAAUUAUCAAAAGAGGACGACCCUCUUGUCCUAAUCAAAGAGGGACCGGACAGACUUUUUAAAGUGGCCAUGCUUGUGGAAAAAUUAUACAAUACAUUGUACAUGUUGUAAAGAAGAAUAAGUAAAGAAGAAUAGGUGAAGCCCACAUAGCCAACUAACACCCACCAACCUAACCACACACCCACCAAACCAAACCACUACCCAAUUGAUUGAAGAAUAUUAAUGAUGUUGUUGAUUGAAGAAUAUUAAUGAUGUUGUUGAUUGAAGAAUAUUAAUGAUGUUGUCUACCAAUUAUAUUGUGAGGUGAACAACCAAUGUCUUAGGCCUAUAAAUAGAUACCUCUAUCAAGAGAAGUUUACACAUAUAGAAGAGGAAGAGAAGGAAGAAUGAGGGUGAGUGAGUUGAGAGGAAAGAGAGCAAGAGAGAAAUUCUCCAAGAGAGAAAAUUGAGUGAGCCAUACAUAUUGUAAACACAAAGUUGUAGCCCUAUUAUUUUACAUAGUGGAAAAGUUACUGCUGCUGCUUUCCGGGGAUGUAGGCAUAGCCGAACCUCGUUAAAUACUGUGUCUCAUCUACUUUACGUACAGCUCAAUAUUCGCACAUAUACCAGUUCAUUUUAUAACACGUUAUCAGCACGAGAAGCUCUCAGGUAUAAUUUUUGUGUUGCACUAUUAUCUAUACUACUAACCCUUAUGUUGAUGUAAGGAAGAAAAGUAGUGGAGGAGCUGUGGUCUGCAAGAGAGAUAUACGAGCAAACCAACUGUGUGCAGAUUACAGGUGGAAAGCAUUUGAUUUAAGAGACAAGCAUGAUGCCUUCCACAAACGAUAAUAAUAUUAUCUGCUAUACUAUUUGAUCGUGGUGUUGAUGAGAACCCACCAAUAAUUGCCUUUACUUUACCGUAAAUUUACUUUUACUUAAAGUAAUAUAAUAUAUUAUAUUUACUGUAUGGUGUAGGUUUAUUACUCAUACAACAGUAUUUAUUUAAAAGGGUGGUGCGGGUUUAUCGUACACGCCUUUACUUCUAUUUAAAUGUAUGGGGCAGAAUUAGUGCCCGUAUAAGCACCAUUUACUUUACCGCACAUUUAAUUUUAUUUAAAGUAUGGUGCGGGAUUAACGUCCAUACAGCAAGCAAUUUAAUUUAUGAAUUUAAUUUACCUCAUAUUUACAUUUAUUUAAAAGGGUGGUGCGGGUUUAUCGUCCACGCCUUUACUUUUAUUUAAAUGUAUGGAGCAGAAUUAAUGCCCAUACAAGUACCUUAACUUUAUGAAUUUAAUUUACCGCACAUUUACAUUUAUUUAAAGUGUGGUGCGGGUUUUAUCGUCCAUACCAAUAAUUUAUUUACCAGCAAUUUAUUUUAUGGAUUAAAUGUGCUGUAUGAUGAGUUUUUACAGUAUGCAGAUCAGGACCAGAAGUUCCUUGAUCCUCAUCAUACAAUUACAUCAGGACUUGAAGAUCCUUGAUGAUGAUGUUAAUAUAAGAGCUGGCAGUCUCUCCGGUACUAUAUUUGUAAACAUGUGAUUGGACUUGAGGGUCCUUGAUCCCUGACAUGUAAAUUAGGACCUGGGGUUCCUUAAUGAUGUAACAGUACCGUAUUGGUUCAUAAUGCCGUACACAUGGAUGAUAACUGUACCGGCAAAUAUACUGUACACAUGAAUAGAUACGUAUUCAUGGCUUGAUGAAUAGUACCGGAUAUAUGAAUAGUGACGUAUACAUAAAUAUUAAUCAUUUUGGGUUAACCAUCACUAUUCAAAAAGGGAACCUGCAGUUCCUUAAACUCAUGGAUGAGCAAUUAAAUGAGAUGCCAGAAGUUCCUCAAGAUAUGGACAAUUAUGUAAGGGCUUGAAGUCUAGAAAUAUGUACAGAAAAUUGUAAAAAUGUCCAUACCAUGAGAACAUGUGAUUUUGGCUUGAGGUUCAAAAUCUAACAGUGUUGAGAACCUGAAGUUCCAACAAUUAAAUGGACAACCCUUGAGGUAUUAUUGCAAAUUGUGGUACGCCACAUAUUUCUUUGGCAUAAGAGAAUGAUGAAUUGAGGCUCCCCUCACAUUUUGUUAUAUCUGGGCCGGAAGCUCAUGAACCCAAAUAUAUGAGAUAUUAGCAUGGCUUUUACUCCAUUCAUAUUUCAUGUCCAUUUGAAAAGGGCGAAUAAAUUCUGAGUUUGUGUUUAGCCCAGGCCAAAAGUUUCAUACAUUGAAAUAUGAAAUUUGGGAGAGUCGAUGUGGUUAUUUGAACCUAUAAGGCACAAGGUUCCAAACCGUCAUUUUAAAAAGACGUAAAAAAAAAAAAAAACCACAAGUGCAAGUUUAAGAAUGUGCGCAAUUAUUAUAAUAUGAAAGGAACAUACAACAGAUAGAUUUUUCCACCUGCAAUGAAGGUGCAGGCCCUGUAAAAUCUAUAAAAAUACAUUAUGUUCUGGAAGCCUCUGAAGGAAGAGGACGACGCCUCUUAAGCUUAGCCAUGAGCCUCUCGUGGUCUCCCAAAAUUCUUUCAUUGGAGACCUGCAGCAUGUCUAGCCUUCUCAGUGUAUCAACAGAGUACGAACUCACCAGUUUCAACAAGGCAUUAUUCUCUCCUUUAAGUUUCUCAACCUCCUGUUGAGACUCAUGAAGCAUUCUUUGGAGAGACGAAUUUUCAGUUGUUAACCUCUCAACCUCGUUUGCUCUGGCACGCAAACGAUCAGCCAUGUUAGAAAUAGAAGCAGCACUCUGAAUGCUAAAAGCCAUUGAGUCAUCAAUAGCCUCUUCCUCACACCUCCCUGUUAACAGCAUUUCAUCCAUUGGAGUAAUGAAAUUCCUAGCUACUAUGACAGCAGUAGCAUCAUUCAUCAUCACAGAAUCAUUAACUGUGAGAUGACGAUUUUGGGAUACAAAGGAUGGACGCCAAACUUGGGCGUCACUGGUUGUUGUGGGAGUAUCAUUUAAAUUGAGAUAAUUUGGGCAGGAAGAAGAGGAAGCCAUUUUUAAGAAGGUUUCGAAGAAAGUCUUAGGAAAACUAAAGUUUCAGAAAAUGAAGGAAGUUGAGUUGAAACGCAGUUGCUCCAAUCAAGUUUUGCAAAGGCAAUAUCUAUAGGAGGAAAUAUGACUACAGUUUCCAGGAUCCCAAUAUUAUCUCAGAUCCCCAUAUUAUCUUUUUCUUUCCCAGAUUCUAAAACUUCACGUGGCCUCCAUUAAUGUUUGUCGGCACUUUCGGCGUUUUCAAAGUAUUAUUUUCGUCAAAAGCCGAUCUUGCUUUACGGAUUUCAUGGAGCUACUUUUUCAAAAGUAUCCCGAGAAUCUCGCAAUUUUCCUAUGGUUAAUUUGAAAUUCACCGGUUCUACCUAUUCCUCUUAUUUGUGUAUAAAUGUGUUACUAACGAAAUUUUCUUUGCAGAAGACAUCCAGUUUUCUCCAUACCUAGUGAUGCGAUAUCUACUUAUUUUUCUUAUCAGUGAGCACUUAAUAUGCCCGAGAAGCAAGACUAUCUCUGAUCAUCCAUUCAGGAAGCGAGACUAUCCCUGAUCACGUUUCCGCCACAUCAGGGAACUGUGAAGGCGACCUUAUGCUCUAAUCUCCGGAAGUUCUUCUAGACUAGGAGAAAUGAGAGCUGGUUGUUUGCUCCCACCAGCUUCCUUCCUUGAUUGCUGAGCUUGUUGUCUGCUCCCACCAGCUUUCUUCCUUGAUUGCUUACCUUCUCUUGCAAUCAAUAUCACAUUAUUUUUGCAUUUUUUCUCUUUUUGUAACUCUCUGAGGAUUAUUUAUUUUUGACAGAGAAAAGAGUUGUGAUUUUGCUCUUGCAGGAUAUAACUAGAUCAUCAAGCGCUACAUUUACUGGGCCGAUACAAGCUUGAAUGAUACUUGAGAAAAGUUUCUCCCACCUAAGGACGUAAGCAAUACUUGUGUUAUUUUAUGCUUAUAUACUUAUUUGAUAUUUUUUCCGUUCCAAAAGAAUGGCUUGUAUGUAUCCACGAAUUAUUAAUGCAAAUUUUACAGAUUGCAAGUUGGAUACAUUGAUAAUACACUGCACAGAUUAAAGUCCCAUAAGAACAGAAUAUGGGUAUAGCAGUGAUCAAUAUGAUGCACGCUUGUUGCGUAGCAAAUGAUGUGGAUUGAAGUCCCGAAAGGACAAUCCUUUGACAUGUCAAUAUUGAUAUUAUGCACGCCUAAUGCGUAGCAAAUUAUAUGGGUUAAAGUCCCAUAAUAUGGGUUAAGGUCCCAGAAAUUAAUUGACAUGUAUGUAUUAAUCUGUGACAUGCCUUCAGCAUGACAGAUAUAUGGGUUCUAAAUGUUCCAACUCCCUAAAUGGAGAUUAUCCACGCCCUACUGCUAAAUAACGCUCCAAUGGAGGUUAUAGUCCACAUUCUCACAUAAUAAAAGCCCCAUGAAGUGGCUUGGGUACCCAAAGGCAAAUAAAUUCUUAUAAUUGAUGCAUGCGCAUGCAAAUGAGAAUGGUGGGAUCAUGAAUUGAUGAAUGACAAUUUUUGAUCAUGAAUUGAUGAAUGACAAUUUUUGGUUUUGGAGUAGCUACUCAAAUCAUCAAUGGGCUGUGUUGAUUGGAACCACGUUCAAUUAUUAAAUGUCGACAAUAUUAUUGGCCAAAAUGGAAUGAGGUAAUUCCAUUAUAGAUGAGAAUGAACGUGAAAGAACAAACCCACAGUACGAACCCCAAAAGAUGUUAAUACUGAAAUUUAUACUUGGGUGUUCGGAAUAAAAGGGAAUAUACCUACUUUGUAUGACACACUGUUUCUGGCAGAAACAAGGAAUGUUGGGUUUUCUCCAUAUUUACAGAUUCAAUUGUGCCCCCUCUUAUUACACAAUUACGGAGACCAACAUAUUAUCUUUAAGGGUUAUUAAAUGCACGGAGCAUAUCGCCAGAAGCGAUUUCUUAAAGAUAUAUAAAUAGCUGGGUAAAAGCUAUAUAAUGUGUCAUAAAGUUUAAACCCUUUUUAGACAAAAUCCGUUGAGAGGAUUGACAUUGCAUAAAGCAAGUCCCUAAAGGACAUGUGCUUGAAGCACAAAAUUUGUACUCAAUAUUAAUAUGCAUAAAUUACCUCAGUGAGUACAUUGAUUAUAAUAUGAUUGCAACACAUUAAAGCUUCUGCAGAGUUCAAGAAAUAUUUGUCUCGACUUAAGGAUCGAGCAUUAUGCCAACGAGAUUCUUGCUUAUACUAAGAAAGUAUUGAAGCAUUUUUAUGAGGAUUAUCCGUUGGACACUUUAAUGAUUUUCCGGAAGUAUAUUGGACCGGACAUCAUAUUUUCCAGAUAGGGCUCAACUCCAUCACCAUCAUUUUGGGAUGAUGUGAGGUAUAUUUGAUGCUAUCUCCGCAUAACACCAUGUACGGGCAUAUUAUUUUAAGUGAACUUACAAAUAGCCCAAGUUUUGUUAGAAACGCGGACUCUGAAAAUUUCUAUGAUUUACAUAGAGAUAGCUCACUGGAAAUAUAUUUACUUACUCAACUACGAGAAUUAUUAAUGGCUAUAUCAUCCACUCACUCCGAAAGAUUCUCACUCCAAAAGAUAGUCAUGAAGACAUCAGGGGGAGAUAUUAAUCAGGGGGAGCAUCCAGAAGUAUGCUAUACAGAUUGCUGUACUCUUUUUUUCUUCCUUCCAUCAGUUUUCUACCUCACUGGGUUUUUCUCCAAGCAAGGUUUUAAUGAGGCAACCAAUCUAGGGACAUGUGGUCUUCAAGGGGGAGUGUUGUAAAGAAGAAUAAGUAAAGAAGAAUAGGUGAAGCCCACAUAGCCAACUAACACCCACCAAACCUAACCACACACCCACCAAACCAAACCACUACCCAAUUGAUUGAAGAAUAUUAAUGAUGUUGUUGAUUGAAGAAUAUUAAUGAUGUUGUCUACCAAUUAUAUUGUGAGGUGAACAACCAAUGUCUUAGGCCUAUAAAUAGAUACCUCUAUCAAGAGAAGUUUACACAUAUAGAAGAGGAAGAGAAGGAAGAAUGAGGGUGAGUGAGUUAAGAGGAAAGAGAGCAAGAGAGAAAUUCUCCAAGAGAGAAAAUUGAGUGAGCCAUACAUAUUGUAAACACAAAGUUGUAGCCCUAUUAUUUUACAUAGUGGAAAAGUUACUGCUGCUGCUCUCCGGGGAUGUAGGCAUAGCCGAACCUCGUUAAAUACUGUGUCUCAUCUACUUUACGUGCAGCUCAAUAUUCGCACAUAUACCAGUUCAUUUUAUAACAGUACAUCAAAUUUGAAAAGCAGCAAUUUGAAUAAUCACCAGUGUUGACCAGGGCCGUCCCUUGGCCAGGGCAACUAGGUCAUCGCCCGGGGCCCACAAUUGAGAGGGGCAUAAAUAUGACGUUUUAAUAUGGUUUAGGUCAAUUACCACGCGGGUAUUGUAUUUGUAUGAGAUAUUUCUAAGAGUGAACAAGAAUUCUUUGUAGAGAUUUGUAACUUUCUUGUUUUGUUUAUGGUACUGGAAAUGACUUUCUGUUUUUAGGUAUUUUAGCUGCACUGCAUUCAUAUGGAAAUAUAUAUAUGAUUUAUCUACAUUUCAAGAUAUCAAUCAUUAAUGUAACCAAAAAUCAUCUGAUGACUACAAUUUGUGGCUUAUCCACUUUCCUUCAUUGGGGUUUCUAUUCAAGCAAUGCUGGUAGUAAGGUCACAUGCCAACAAGUUCAUGAACAAAAUUAGAACAGGUCAUUUGCCUUGGAAAGCAAGACUCCAACACACAACUUCCGUCUCCGAUUGUCUUAGACGAAUUAAUGAUAUGGUUGAAUUUUCUCUCUUUUUGGUUUUGCUUACGCUCACUCCUGAUAUACUUUAGUGGCUAUGAAAGAAAAAAGCUAGAACAAGAAGAAAUAAUACUUAUGGCAUGUACACAAGAAGAAAAAAGAAAUAAUACUUACUCAGCAUAUAUCAAUAUACUUAUGGCAUGUAGAAGAAUACUUACUCAGCAUAUAUCAAUAUACUUAUGGCAUGUAGAAGAUGAAGAAAUACAUAAAUAUAUAUAAGAGAAAUAAGAUUCAAAUUCAGAGAAAGGAACGCAAAGAAAAGUUUGAGUAUAGGAGCUCUAGUGGCCAUACAUCUCCAAACCCUUCCGCUACAUAAUAGUACGGGAAACUCCAACCGAAUCUUUCUUUCUCAAUUAUUGAUUUUUCUCUUCUUUUUCUUCUUGGUCGUGCCUUCUUUUCAGUCAAGCCGCUUGCUUCAUUUUUUUGCUUUGCUUACUCACCGUAAAAUAAAACAUAAAGCUAGAACAACAAAAACAACAAGAACAAGAAGACCAAGAAAAAAUGGUACGGUCGAGUUGUUGUACUCGUUGCCAACCGUAAUCCCAACACCUGCGCUUUUAAUUGCGGAGAUAUUAUUAUUACUAAUAUUGUUGGUCUUGUUGCUUCCAUCAGUAUUUUUUACCUCGCAAUUUUCAUUUUGCUGGGGCUCUUGUUCAGUUAUUUCUCUUUGGGGAUCUUGUUCAGAAAGCGUUCUAGGGUGACCAGGAAAGCGGUUUCUUACCCUCCCUUCGGGGUUUUGGUUCAGUUGUUCAGCUUUAGAUUGAGAUCGAGACCCAUCUUACAUAUAUGCAAAGAUCAAAAUGGAAAGAUAUUCAAAUAAGUGGAGGCAAAUACUCCAAUUAGAUGGAAGACAAUCUUUCAAUAAAUGGAAGCUACUAUUGUAAACUAAUUACAUAAAUUCCUUAAACCCUAUACACACGUAGAAAUCGCAUCAAGGAAAGAUCUUGAAUCAAAUAAAAAUAUUAAUCAUAAUAGUACAUGUUGGCGAGUCCUUACUUAGUUAGAAUUUUGGUUCCUUAUUUCAUUAGAAUUUUGGUUACUUACCAAUUAUAUUUUGUCCUAUUGUAAUAGAGAUUAUUUUAUUUAGUGUUAUGGGGGUUGAUGAUUUUUUCAACCUUCAUGGAGGUAGCACCACCGACUCAUUCUCUCAUUCUCCACCAACCAUCGUUGAGUUGAGUGCCCAGAUGGCUCCGCUCCUACAGAUGCAGACUUUGACCCCGAACCCGAUCCAAAAUCAGGAUCCUCUUUUGACGACCCCGACCCCGACCCCGACUAUGAUGACGACCACCCAGACCCCGACCCCGACUAUGACGACGACGACCCCGACCCCGACCCCGAAGACGACCCCGACCCCGACCCCGACUCCGAAGACGACCCCGACCCCCACUCCGAUGAUGACCCCAACCCCGAAUUUGUCUCUGAUUCAGACCCUGAUCCCGAUUUCAACUCUGACUCCGGCCUCGACUCAGGCUCAUAUUCCGAUCCCAAUUCCUACUCAACUGUAUCCUAUGCAUCUUCCGUUGCACAGAUUAUGACUUCUCGACUAACGACCCCGACACAUGGACCAGAUUGCGCAUUUUGUGAAAUCCGAGGAUCAAUUGGCGGAUAUUUUGACAAAUGCGAUUUCCAGUAAAGCAUUCCACAAUUCACUAGAUCAGUUGAGCAUUGGCGACAUCUAUGCACCAACUGAGGGGGAGUGUUGGCGUGACUUGUGGAUAUUGACUUACUUUCCUUACACACCAAGAAUUCCUAUUAUAAUUGUAAUUGAUUUACUUUAAUUUCUGAUUUCCUACUGCAAAUAGAUUUAGGAAUUUAUUAUUUACUUGCCUAUUUAGGUUUUGUUGUAUUAUAAAUAUGACCUCCUACAAGGAGAAGAAUACACAGAAAAUUCCCACAAACAAAUAUUCUCUCAUAGUUUUAAUAUUUUAGCAUGGUAUCAGAGCCUGGUUCGAUCUAGGGACCUGUGCUUGUGUUCUUCUUGAAGUUUAAGUGCUCUUCUCCCCCCUUGAGUUGGGGGGGGGGGGGGGGGGUGGGGAUAUGUUUAUUGACCUAUCCCAAUUACCUUGACAUAUUUCCAUGAAGAUGUUGCUUAUUUCUUUGACUCCGACGACCCCUUCUCUUCAAGGGGAGAGGAAGAUUGAAGAGAAGUUGUGUCUGAGUGAAUUAGCUAAAGUUUAUAUGGAAGAAUUUAUUGUUGCCAUUGUCUCUACUGCCGUGCUCAUGGGGUUUCGGUGUUCUGCCUUACCUAUUGCCGUGCUCACAGGGUUUCUGUGUUCUGCCUUACCAAUUGCUGUGCUCACACAGUUUCUGUGUUCUGCCUUACCUACUGCCGUGCUCACAGGGUUUCUGUGUUCUGCCUUAUCUACAGCCGUGCUCACAGGAUUUCUGUGUUUUGCUAUGUGCCCUAUUUUUUAGGGUUUGCUCUUGUGUUUCCGCUGUGAACUUUGUUUUAAUUUGUCACUUGUUUCACUCGUGGUUGACUAAAAGAUCUUCUCUACAAUUGUUACUUCUCAAGUAUGGUGUUCUGUGACUCACUUGUCAAGUUGAGCGUGCGAAAUAUCUUUGCCCAACUUGAGGGGGAGUGUUGGCGAGUCCUUACUUAGUUAGAAUUUUGGUUCCUUAUUUCAUUAGAAUUUUGGUUACUUACCAAUUAUAUUUUGUCCUAUUGUAAUAGAGAUUAUUUUAUUUAGUGUUAUGGGGGUUGAUGAUUUUUUCAACCUUCAUGGAGGUAGCACCACCGACUCAUUCUCUCAUUCUCCACCAACCAUCGUUGAGUUGAGUGCCCAGAUGGCUCCGCUCCUACAGAUGCAGACUUUGACCCCGAACCCGAUCCAAAAUCAGGAUCCUCUUUUGACGACCCCGACCCCGACCCCGACUAUGAUGACGACCACCCAGACCCCGACCCCGACUAUGACGACGACGACCCCGACCCCGACCCCGAAGACGACCUCGACCCCGACCCCGACUCCGAAGACGACCCCGACCCCCACUCCGAUGAUGACCCCAACCCCGAAUUUGUCUCUGAUUCAGACCCUGAUCCCGAUUUCAACUCUGACUCCGGCCUCGACUCAGGCUCAUAUUCCGAUCCCAAUUCCUACUCAACUGUAUCCUAUGCAUCUUCCGUUGCACAGAUUAUGACUUCUCGACUAACGACCCCGACACAUGACUUCUCGACUAACGACCCCGACACAUGGACCAGAUUGCGCAUUUUGUGAAAUCCGAGGAUCAAUUGGCGGAUAUUUUGACAAAUGCGAUUUCCAGUAAAGCAUUCCACAAUUCACUAGAUCAGUUGGGCAUUGGCGACAUCUAUGCACCAACUGAGGGGGAGUGUUGGCGUGACUUGUGGAUAUUGACUUACUUUCCUUACACACCAAGAAUUCCUAUUAUAAUUGUAAUUGAUUUACUUUAAUUUCUGAUUUCCUACUGCAAAUAGAUUUAGGAAUUUAUUAUUUACUUGCCUAUUUAGGUUUUGUUGUAUUAUAAAUAUGACCUCCUACAAGGAGAAGAAUACACAGAAAAUUCCCACAAACAAAUAUUCUCUCAUAGUUUUAAUAUUUUAGCAGUACAUACCUGCCAUUGAUGAAAGCUCAAAAGAAAGUCUUCUACUCUCUGUAGAGUUCUUAUGUUCAAAUAGCAAGAGGGACUAGAUGUUUUGAACGUGUUUGUUUCUAAGAGAGCAUGGGCAUGGACCACCUCUUGAAAAUGGAAUAAGUUACUAUUAUAUACAUGGAUUUAUUUAUUACUCUUAUAUCUGCAAUAUUCUUAAUGAUCAACUUGGAAAAGUCUUCCCACCAAAAAAAAAAAAAAAAAUGGAAAAGUCUUGUGAAAAAGGACUUAAUUUGUGUGUGUGUAUAUAAUAAAAAUAAAAUAAAAUAAAAUAAUUAGAAAUUAAAAUCCAAAAAGAAAUUAAGCAAAAUCAAACUUAGGCAAACCAAAACAAUCCUAAAGAUACCAAUGGAAAGAAGCUUCAAAUAAGUUGAUUUUUAAAGUUAAUGUCUGUUAUAUAUCUGCAAUAAUCAUGGGGCAUUCUAAAAGACUCUAUUAUCAAAGAAAUCCUAGCCUCCCCUCUGUCAAAAAAAAGCCAUUUUCACUUUUAGGAGGGAGAAAGUCACAGUUCUUCCUUCCCUCCCCCAUCUUCUUUUCCUCCCUUCUAUUCUUUUUCUAUUUUCAAAGACAGAAAGUUUUCUACAUUUCUCUUAGUUUUGUUAUAAUUUUCUUAAUAGAUUUAUUUAUUAGUCUUUGUUAUAUCUGCAAUAUUCCUAAUGAUUAACUCGGGAAAAUCUUUCCAGCAAAAACCAAAAAAACUUGGAAAAGUCUUGUAAAAAGGGACCCCUCUCUUGUCCUAAUCAAAGAGGGACCGGACAGACUUUUUCAACCCGAGGGGUCGAUGUGGUGACAUUACAGAGCUGUGGUUUUAGUGCUCGUCUGGUUCGACUGGUCAGUCGUCCGCCUGAGCUAGUGUCGGUGUGGGCUUUGAGUCCACAUCGUGGUGCUAGUGGUUAAUUCGGCUCAGUCAGCCUCCUGUGUCAACUACCACCAUGUAUACAAACAUGGUACAGACAACCGCUUUUUCUGUAGCCCUUUGAGCCAAUACAAUAAGAUUUUGUAAUUUAGUGUCGGCAAAGCAAUAAUUUAGAUUCCUUGUCAAAUUCCAAUAAUACGCAUGUCGAAAAAAUUUGUUGAACUGUCACACCCCAUACUUUGAGCAAAUAUUCCAAAGCAAAUUCAAAGAAAUAUUUCACUAAAUUAACGUUGGUAUAUAUUUGUUGACCUGAAAAAUUAUCAACAUUUAUUAAUAAUAAAAAUAAUUAAAUAACAGCCUAAGCUGUGAGUUAAUAGCAACUUAAGGCCCUGUUUGGUGAGCUGGACUGGACUGGUUAAGAUUGGGCUUUGAGUGUUGGAUUUGUCUGGCUUAGAUUGGGUUGGACUUUAAUAAGUUGUUUGGCACAUUAAGUUGGACUAGGCUACACUGGACUAAAGUCCAGUCUGUUGUUUGGUACAAGUAUGGACUGGACAGCAUUGGACUUCAAAUAAAAUUUAUUUUAAUGUUUAUUAAAAUUAUUUAAUAUAGAAAUAAUUAAAUUUAAUAUAAAAAAAUGUAUAGAAAAUUAAAAAUAAGAAAUCACAUGAAGAAACCAUAAAAAUAGUCCAAAAAUUCACAAAAUUAAUAAUAACACGAAAAUUCUUUUAAGUACAUUCAAAUGAUCAAGAAAUACUUAUGUUAUGUUGCUCUAUUUGCCAUCCACUCAUUAAACAUCUCAGUAGCCAAAUUAUCCCUCCAUGUAGACCAUUGGUCGGAUGCGGCAAUGGUAUCAAUAGUGGCAUGAUCGACAUUGUUCUCAAUGAGGGGAUCAUAAUAAAUUUCUUGCUCCAUUGGAUCUAUAGACAUCUCUCUCCUAAUUAACUUGUGUAAAAAACAACAACCCAUUAUUAUUCGGCAUUGUGUUUGUAUUGGAUAGAACGAUGGAGUCCUUAAGAUUGCCCAACGCAUCUUAAGAAGUCCAAAACAACGUUCCACCAUAUUUCUUGCUAAUGCAUGCUUCAUGUUGAAGUAUUCUCGAUGGUUCAAGGGUGCACAUCCUUCUCUCCAUUCCCAUAAGUGAUAUCUCGUUCCUCUGUAGGGCGCAAGAAAUCCCUCACAAUUUUUGUAACCAGCAUCCACAAGGUAAUAAUAUCCUAAACAAUAAAUAGGAGUGAAUUAAAAAACAUAAUUCAAAUUUAUGGUACUGAAAUAUUUCUUAGAAUUCUUUGUAGAGAUUUGUAACUUUCUUGUUUUGUUUAUGGUACUGGAAAUGACUUUCUGUUUUUAGGUAUUUUAGCUGCACUGCAUCCAUAUGGAAAUAUAUAUAUGAUUUAUCUACAUUUCAAGAUAUCAAUCAUUAAUCUAACCAAAAAUCAUCUGAUGACUACAAUUUGUGGCUUAUCCACUUUCCUUCAUUGGGGUUUCUAUUCAAGCAAUGCUGGUAGUAAGGUAACAUGCCAACAAGUUCAUGAACAAAAUUAGAAAAGGUCACUUGCCUUGGAAAGCAAGACUCCAACACGCAACUUCCGUCUCUGAUUGUCUUACACGAAUUAAUGAUAUGGUUCAAGACUUUAACCCUCCGUUUGGAUGAAGGAAUUGAAAAUUACAUAGAAUUCUAAAAUGACAGAAUUUAGAUUUCCAUCAUUUCAAUUUCUAGCAAUUGAAAAUUCUAGUGCUUGGAUUUAUGUAUGUUGAAUUUUGUAAACGACAAAAUUUUGUAAAUGGCACUAUGGAAAUUGUGAAAUAACGCCUAUUUUGGUGAAAGUUAAUUAAAUUUAGGAAUUUGAUGCCCCAAUUUCCACGAUUUUUUCCGCGUGUCAUUUAAUAAAUUUCGUACUUAAGUUGCCAAACAAGAAAAUUGUUAAUUUCUUCUCUUAAAUUUCUGACUUUUAGUUAAAUUCAGAAUUAUUUUCCUUCAUCCAAAUGGACCAUAAACAUUUCUUAAUCUCCUUCUCUCUUUUUUUUCUUUUGCUUUCUCUGUUUGAAUUUUCUCUCUUUUUGGUUUUGCUUACUCUCACUCACUACUACAUUUUACUCUUUGCGCGACGAAGAACAAAACGUCGCGCAAAGUCUCAUUUAGUCGCACUAAUUUCAGCGCGACAAAACAUUCGUCGCGCAUAUUUCGUCGCGCGAAGAUCGUGAAGAAAGCCUUUGCGCGACGAGGUACAACCCUUCGUCGCGCAAAACUGUGCGACGGGUAAACCAUCGUUGCACCAACGGUGUGGAGACGAAACAACUGUUCGUCGCAUAAAUCUUUGCGCGACGAUCAAUUAUUCGGCGCACGUAUAUUUGCGCGACGACAGGAAUAGCGCGACGAAACAUAAUUCGUCGCGCAAAACAUGUUCGGGAGACGUAUAUGUUCGUCGCAGAACAAUUCGCGCGAUGAGAAAGUUUUCGUCGCUCAUAUAUUUGCGCGACAAAAACCUCUGUCGUCGCGCAAAUAUGUUGCGCGACGAAACGUUUCGUCGCGCAAAACCUAUUUGCGAGACGUAUGUAUUCGUCGCGCACGAAUUAAAAGUGAUAAAAAAGUUGAUUUUUUUUUUGUUACAUGUUGGUUUGCGCGACGAAAUGUUUUCCGUCGCGCAAAAAUAAUAUUACAAUUUUAUUUUUAUUUUUUUUAUUUUUUUAUUUUUUAUUUUAAAUAAAAUUGGUUUCUUUUUAUUGAUUAAACAAUGAAAUUGCAAUAAAAAUAAAUUAGAAUAAAAUUUUGUUAUAAAAUAAAAUAAAUGUAUUACAAAUAAAAUAAAUGUUUAUGAUGAAAAUAAAUACACUAAUCAAAUAAUGAAGCAAAAUCAACCGGGUCGUCGCGAGUAUGCGGCUCGGAGGUCUGGGCGUCCACCGGGGCUGUGGUCUGGGCGUCCACCGGGGCAGUGGUCUGGUGGGCAUGCUCGGGGUGGACGGGCUGGGAGGUCGACGCACGAAACUGCGGGAUCGGAAAGCCGCUCUCUGCGAGGGACUGUAGAAUCACCGACAUCUGACCCUGAAGCUCGGCCACCUGUGCUGUCAAAGCAGUCACCUGACUGUUUGACUGCACCGAUGAACGAGGUCUAGGUUCCCUCCGCCGGGCAUUCCCCAUCCCUCGACAAUAUGUCCCCAGCCUCCUUCGCUCGAGUCUGAUCCAACGUCUCCGUCAAGAUCUGAAAUCCAGCAUCCGAUGGAGGAGCCACAGACUCGAGCGGAGUCUCAGGAGGAAGCUGGGAGGCGGACUCCUGAAGAACCAACUGGCUCCUCUCCACCAUCGUCGUCUGUUGAACAUAACAUAAAAUAUAAAUUAAAACAUGCAUAUAAAUUGAAUGCGUAACAUAAGAAUUUAAAUUAAAUAAUACUUACAUGAAGGGACUCGGCCAACUCAUUCCCGGGUCGAACAUAAACGUCACCAAAGACGUCGAUCUCUGGGAACUUGGACCCCUCCUAAAUUGAACAAGAGAAGAAAAAUAUUAGUAUGAAAAAAAUAAAUUAAUAAAAAUGACAUUAAAAAUGAAAUAUAAAUUAUGUGAUUAUUACCCGUCGCCGUGCAUCCAUCCUAUACGAAAAGGGACUGGAGCCAGAAUGGUGGAGAAGGGUCUUCUUCUUCCUAUUACCCUUAUUCACUUGGGCUUUAUUCUGUUAUACAAAAAAUGAAACGUAUUAGUUAAAAUAUAACAAAUUAAAUAAUAAUGAAAUAAAAAAAAUGAAAUAAACAUUAAUAAGAAAUAAGUAAUAAUUAAACAAAUAUGAUUAAAAAAAAUACCAUAUAUUCGGGCGCUUGAAAAUGAGCGCAGAGCCACUCCCAACUAUCCUCCCGCCCCUCAAGCUCCUUCGGGCAACCCUCCUGAAGAGCGACUUGCGGAUCAUCAAAGGCCUGAAAAUGAUGGUGCAAGUCGCUCUUCCACUGCUUGUACCUCUCAGCGAUGAGUCUGUUGACGUACACCAACGACUCUUCGUCGAGAUCCUCCAAGUUAUAGUUCGUCUGCAAUCAAUUAAUUAAAUACGUUAAGUAAUAGAAAUAUACACAAUUUUAAAGAAAAAUAAUGAAAAUGUAAGGUACAUACCGACAACUGGCCGCGAACCUCCACCUUUAUUUCGUCAGGAAUGACCCUCCAAGACUUCCAUUGCAUCGGGCAAUGGGUCCGCACGACGUGGCCAAUGUCGUGGGCCAAGGAGCUAUGCAACUCCGCCGUGGGUGCAGCCCGAUGGCGCUCGUCGUAUCCGAUGCUGAUACGACUGUUGGUCACCCGGGUGACCUUCGCUGUCUUCAGCUGACGACACGGCCCUCGGGUGUUCUUCUUCGCUGCAAAGAAAUAAGAUAUUAAUGUUAAAUAAACAACAUUGUCAAAUUUAAAUAUAAAAUUAACAAUAAAAAAUGGUAGUUAUACCUGGCUGUGAUCCCGAGGCACCAGUACCCUCGGUCGAUGUCGUCUUGGUGGUGUCGGCAGGCCGGUGCCGCCGCCUAGCACUAGCAGGCUGCGCGACGGAUGACGCAGAUGACGCUGGCGCCUGGGACGCCCCGGGACCAACUAGCACGUGCUCCAUCAAAGCUGGAGCUGUGGCAGCAGAUGCCGACUGAGCUGGGGGAUCCGAACUCGGUGCAGUCGUCAUCGACCUACCACGUCUAAUCAAGUCUAACAUCUGCACAUAUAAUUUUAUUAAGAAUUUAAACUAAUUAAUUAAAAGCAUAGCAUGACCUAGGGUUUGGAAUUUCGGAGUAUCCGGGACUCCGAUCAACAAUCGGUCGAAUCCUAAACGAUCCUAGAAACACAAAGGUACAACUACGUGAGUUUGAGUUCGAUCCAACGGUCCGAACAUAUCAAACCUGGAAAUCGCAGAAUAGGCGAAAUCCGAUCAAUACUCAAACGGUAACCAAAUUCAAAUCCGAGCAAACCUACGCGCUCGUGACAAACAGGGGAUUGCUCUGGGACACAAUGCCCCACUGCCACAGCAUCCCACGCGCCACCACACGCGCCGGCAGCGCGUGGGUGUCCAAAGCGAUAACAUUCGCCGGAAAAUUCUAAAAACUAACGGCCAAGGUUCCUACCCUAGGUUGAAAACAGUAAUUGGAGCCACUUUUGUUCUCGGACCUACCCCGAAAAAUAGCCGGAAGUGGCCGGAUUUGAAAUUCCCAAACCGGCCAAAACCUAGGGUUUUAAUUCCUAUUUCCUAUAGCGAAAAUUCAACAAAUCCUAGCCAACCAUCAGCUAGAGCACAAAAAAUAGUCGAGAAAUCAUACCUCAGGCGUCGGAAAUGGUGGCCGGAGGAGAGAGAAAUCGCCGGCGAUGAAUCGGGAAAAAACCGGCAGGCUCGACGGCGGGCUCGACGGCGAAGGAAGGGGAGGCUACGGCAAGAGCGGCGGUGGCUGAGGUGACGGCGGAGAGAGAGGGCUGAGGUGACGGCAGAGAGAGAGGGAAACGGAGGAAAAAACCAGAAAUGGGGAAGAAGGAGGCAUCGCGCCGUUUCUGCAAAUUUUUACGACUUUGCGCGACGAAGGACAUCAUCCGUCGCGCAAAAUGGUAUUAAUGAAUCUUGCGCGAUGAAAUAUCCGUCGCGCAAGGUCUCCCAGAACGCCAAAUUUUGAAUGGGGAUUAGGGUCUGUGACUUUUGCGCGACGAAAAAUACUUAGUUCGUCGCGCAAAAGGCUGUCGUUCCGCCAAAUUUUUGGGAUUUAGGGUUUAGUGGGAGGCUGAAACUGAAGGGUUUGUGCUUUUGCGCAACGAAGAGAGUAAACGUCGCGCAAGGGUAACCUUGCGCGACGGGAAACAUUAUAUUCGUCGCGCAAAACGCUGGCGUUCCGCCAAAUUUUUGGGAUUUAGGGUUUAGCGGGAAAUGAAGGGUUUGUGCUUUUGCGCGACGAAGACAGUAAACGUCGCGCAAGGGUAACCUUGCGCGACGGAACACAUUAUAUUCGUUGCGCAAAACGCUGUCGUUCCGCCAAAUUUUUGGGAUUUAGGGUUUAGCUGGAAAUGAAGGGUCUGUGGAUUUUGCGUGACGAAGAUAGUAAACGUCGCGCAAUGGUUCCCAUUGCGCGACGGAAAAUAUUAUAUUCGUCGCGCAAAACGCUGUCGUUCCGCCAACAUUUUGGGGUUUAGGGUUUAGCGGGACGCAAUCUAUUUCACUUUCACUUUGCGCGACGCAUACCUUGGUUCGUCGCGCGAGUUCAAGAUUGUGAUUGAAAUUUUCACUAAGUGUUCAAAGGGGAUGGAGGUGUGAAAACUGUCGCCCAGAUUGCUCGACGAACAUAGGACUGUUCCGUCGCGCAAUCUAUUUCACUUUCACUUUGCGCGACGCAUACCGUGGUUCGUCGCGCGAGUUCAAGAUUUUGAUUGAAAUUUUCACUAAGUGUUCAAAGGGGAUGGAGGUGUGAAAACUGUCGCCCAGAUUGCGCGACGAACAUAGGACUGUUCCGUCGCGCAAUCUAUUUCACUUUCACUUUGCGCGACGGUUAUAGAUAUGCGUCGCGCAAAACCUAGACCCUAAACCCUAAGCCCUAAACCCUAAACCCUAAAAUAGUUUCAAUGAUCCAACCGGCUAACUUAUUUUUUGAUACUUGGAGAUCAUAUACGCCAAAAAUCAAAAAGACCAAACAUUCAGAUAUCAGGGAACGGGACUAAAUAUUUCGACGGUUAUAAAUGAAAAGUCAUGAUUUAACGGUUAUUUUAACUCCGAUUUUGAUCAUUUUUUACAGCAACAUUUGUUGACCCUAUAUGAAUACAAUGACUGAAUUUGAUCUUCAAUUUCAGAUUUUUACACUAGGGGAUACCACAUAAACGUUAAGUUACAUUUUCACAAAUGUAUGAACAAAUUUUAGGGUUUUUGGUGAAUAUAUGAUUUUGAUAGCACACGCAGUCUACGAAACAAGUUUCAGUCAUCCAGCCGUCAAACUUGUUUUUUUAGACUUCGAGAUCAUAGACAGCAAAAAUUGGACAAAAAAAACAUUCAGAGAUUAAGUAACGGGGUAAAACUUUUCGACGGUUCUAAAUAAAGAGUGAUGAUUGAACGGUUAUUUUAACUCCGAUGUUGAUGAUUUUUUGCAGCUACAGUCCUACACUUCAUAUGAAUACAAUGAACUACUUCGAUCGUCAAUUUUAAAUAUAUAUGUGUGUAUAUAUUAUACUAUAACGUUACCUAAUAUAUAUUUGCGCGACGAAGGGCUCAUUAUCGUCGUGCAAAAAUUCCAUACGCGACGCAUAUAUAUUCGUCGCGGAAACAAUGCGCGACGAGGUAUAUUCGUCGCGCAAACGUUACGCAACACUUAUAUAUGCGUCGCGUAUGGUAUGUUUGCGCGACGAUAAUGAGCCCUUCGUCGCGCAAGGAUUUGGCGCCAUAAAUCCUCAUUUAAUUCAAAUUGUGUAUGCUUUGUAUUUUUUGGAAAGGUUUUGUAUUCAUCAUUUUUUAUGCUUUGUAUUUUUUGGAAAGGCUUUGUAUUUCUCAAUCAAGCUUUUGAUUUUGAACACAUCUCUCAAUCAAGCUUUUGAGUUAAUUCAGCCAUGGCUUCUCUUCAUGACACUCCAACAUCUUCAGCUCCCAUACCCCACUUCUUCAAGAUCAUUCUAGAUGACACUUCUAAAAACAUCAGAAUUGUAAGCAUCUCUCUCUCUCUCUCUCUCUCUCUCUCUCUCUCUCUCUAUGCUAAGAAUGUUUUCUGAUUAUUGAAAUAUUCAUUUCUUUUGUUAUUUUUAUUGAAGCUUUAACUUGUUCUGUUCUGCAGAAAAUUCCAAUGAAGUUUGUGAUGAAAUAUGGAGAAUGAAUACACAACUACAUAUGGACAACUACAUAUAUUUAAAGAUUUGUAUUACAUAAAAUGAAUACAGUAACAUAAUAAAUUUACAAAUAAAUUCAUUAUUCAUCAUCUGAACUAUAAUAACUUUCGUUAUUGUCGCUAUCAUCACUCUCGGUCUCCCAGUCUUCUUCCUCCUCCUCCUCUAUAACUGCAUCAUUGGCGUUGCUAGGGCCCACUGCAACAUCGUAUCGGGGAAGAUCACCGAGGUCAAUUGUAAUUGACUGAAUCGGUAUUUCGACUGAAGACACUCCUUCUAUUUGAAACGGUUCUUGUAUAACAUUUGUAUCUCGAAGUGUUUCCGCAUCAUUUUCCAUUGAAGAUUCUAAACGUUGGUCAGCCACAUUGUCGACGUCGUUGUCACUUGGGUCUAGUUCUGGUAUAUCAUACACAUUCCUAUGAUCCAUCUUCUGCACAACUUUCCACCAGUUCCCGGCUUUAGGGUCAUCUAGAUACACAAUUUGGGACGCCAUGUUUGCCAAAAUGUACGGGUCGUCAUCAUACCAAGUUCUGUUAUUGUUCACAGACAGUACUCCAUGGUCGAUUUUAACACUUCCCGCCCAUUUUGGGUUGGUAUCGAACCAUCGACACUUAAACAUGAUGACUUGGUAUCGAUCUUUGUAAAGCAAUUGCACGACAGUUGUCAGUUUGCCAUAGAAAUCAAUGUCCGUACUUUCGCCUCCACCUGGGACAUGGACACCGCUAUUUUGCGUACACAACUUGUCAUCUCGUGCGGCCCCCAAAAAUUUGACGCCGUUAACAUUACAACCCGAGAACAAUUCAGCGCGAAUUGGGCCGAACGCCAAGUUAUAUAACUCAUCACUGUAAGUGGGGGAAUUCGAUGAUUUCAAUUUAUUCACCUAAUAGUAUACAAAACCAUUUACAUGUUAGUCUGACAAAAUUAAAUACUACAAUUUAUAUUUGUCAAUUACAAAACACUUAUAACUUACAGAAUCCAAAAACCAUUGUGGAAAUAAUUCACGGUGUUUCCGGGCAACCAAAUGUGAUAGAUGUUCUCGCUUCAUCAUCUGUUCAUGCUCAUCUAAGUAGGCCAUUAUCUCAUCACAAUUGUUCAGUACGAACCAAUGCGCUACCUCCAUGUCAUUUCUAGAAAACGACUCUCCUCGUCCAGGAUCUCCAAAUGGUCGUGCGCUUUGGGCAAAAACAGAAAGUUUUUCAUUUCUCAUACCUCCGUCAUUAUUGCGUUGAGGAUGAUUGAAAACCGUCUCCACAUCUUUUAAAUACAUUCCACAGAAAGUAAGCGACUCAUAUUGAACCCAAGCCUCUAUAAUUGAUCCUUCGGGCUUUGCCCUGUUGCGUACACUUUUUUUCAGCUCUCCGAGAAGCCUGCCAAAAUAAAACGAUAUGAUACAAAUUAGCAAACUGUUGAUAAUGAUGCAUACACAAAUGAUAAAGAUUAUAUACCUUUCUAUUGGAUACAUCCAGCGAUAGUUGACAGGACCAGCAAGCAAUGCCUCUUCUGGCAAGUGAACCAUCACGUGCAUCAUACUUGUAAAGAAAGCUGGAGGAAAUAUCAUCUCAAACUUGCAUAGGACUUGGACAAUUUCAUGGCGCAACUGAAACAUGUCUGUCCUUCGCAAUGUUUUUGCCGUCAGUUGGGAAAAAAAUCUGGAUAACAACAUGAUUGGCUUCACCACAUCUUCCGGCAGUAGGUGUCGAAUACCCACAGGAAGUAGGCGUUGCAUGAACACAUGGCAGUCAUGGCUCUUAAGUCCAGUAAAUUUACCCCCAUCGACAUUCAUGUAACGUGCGAUAUUAGAAGCAUACCCAUCGGGAAAUUUGACAGACGAUACAAACUUUAGAAACUCCUUUUUGUCAUUCGGUUUCAUAGAAAAGAAUGCAAGAUCCCUUCUAGCUUUAUCACUUUCCCUAUUCAUCCAUAAACCCCUUCGUAUGCCCAUUCUUUCCAAAUCAAGACGAGCUUUGAUCGUGUCCUUCGUCUUCCCCUCGAUAUCUAGAAUCGUGCCCACCAAUGUGUCGAAUACAUUUUUCUCAACAUGCAUCACAUCUAGAUUGUGCCUCAAUUUCAGUUUCGACCAAUAUGGGAGCUCAAAAAACAUAGGCUUGUGCGUCCAGUUCAAAUGUGUAGAAGGUCUGGUCCGACUAACUGUUUUCCCGAACGGAGCAAAAUCCAAACGGUUCAGCUGUUCCAAGAUCUCAUCACCGGACCAUUCUCUAGGUCUGAGGUGACGCUCUGUGUUCCCGUCGAACUCUUUAUCUUUUUCUCGCCACUCGUGGUCCCAUGGCAACCAUCUCCGAUGACCAAGGUAACAAAUUAACUUUUUCCGCGUGCCAACCAGAAGUUACAUCUUCCUUGCAUACAGGACAUGCCAUAUAACCCUUUGUGCUCCACCCAGAAACCAUUGCAUAUGCUGGAAAAUCAUUCACAGUCCACAUAACUGCUGCUCGCAAAGUGAACAUCCUCCCAGUUGAUUUAUUGUACGUGCGAACACCGUUUAUCCAUAAAUCCUUCAGCUCAUCAACCAGAGGCCUUAAGUACACAUCAAUUGACCUGCCAGGAUCCUCAGUUAUCAAAACAGUCAUCAUCAUGUCUGUGGCAGUAUGCGUUGACAUAUACAAUCGCUGCAACCUAGGUUUAAGGGGCAGAUAACGCAUGACUUUUUGUGGUAUCUUAGUCGUUUUAUUCUGGGAUGUCAUUUUGAACCUCAACUCAUUGCAUAUAGGGCAUGUAUCCAACGUUUCAUGCUCUUUGUAGAAUAACAUGCAAUUGUUUUUGCAAGCAUGAAUUUUUUCAUAACCCAAUCCAAGACCAUGCAACACCUUCUGUGCAUGUUUAUGGUCUUUCGGCAAACAAUUGUCCGUCGGAAGCAUUCUCUUGAAAACCCCCAAAAAGUAAUCGAAACACAAGUUCGACAUAUGAUACUUUAUUUUUUCGUGCAUUAGCUCCACAAUGGCAGUGAGAACGGAAAAGCUCUCGCACCCCGGGUAUAACUCUUGGUUGGCAUUUUUUAACAGUUUUUCAUACUGUUCAAACUCCGCACUGUCUAUUGAUGUAGGCACGUCAUCUUCCCCUUCCUGAUUGAUGUUGGUCGAUGCGAAUGGAAAAGCAUCCUGUAUAAUACCCAUGACUUGAUCAUUAGGAUCCACAAUAGGUUCAACAUUGUCCACUCUUGGGGCAUUUGAAGACGAAGCAUGGUCUACUUGUUCGCCGUGAAGGUUCCAAAUGCUAUAUGUUUCAAUCAUUCCAUUCCUUACUAAAUGAAAUCCAACAUUUUCAAUUGUCUCCCACAACGUGUUGUUACACCUCCUACAAGAACAACGGAUUCUAGUUGCACCUGGGUUGUGUCUACGUGCAAACUCAAUAAAAUCCUCUAUUCCAUCCAAGUAUUCGUCUGCGCAUCUAUUCGGGUUCUGUAUCCACCUUCUGCUCAUAAUUCCUGAAACCACAAUCACGACACAACAAUCACAACAACUUCAUACGAAGUUAUAAUGUCACCUUAUGCCUCCAGUAAGGGCCCUAUCCCAUUCUGGAAUGCAUAGUCCUGUCACGUAACCUACGGCUACAUGAGAUUAGAUUUCGACGUGGAUUAAUUUCGGCAGCAUCUCGACACAGUUCUUGAAGUGGGCAUAGGUAUAAAUACCUACGUACCACUCGAAGAACGUACCGAGAUGACACCGAAAUCUCCACAAUCGAAACCUAAUCCUGUAGCCGAAGAUUAUGUGACAACACUAUGCAUUACCAAACUGUCCAAAUAAUGGGACAAUUCAAGAAUUAAUUGGACCGCAGUCAUGCAUUACGCAUCCAUGCACGAAAUCCAACUAAUCUCGAACGGGAAACUACGUGUUACUAAACAUAAAAAUAAAAGUACGAAGUUAAUUUCAAUUAACUUCGUACAUCACAACACAUUGUGCUAUGUCACGCACAAUUUCACAACAUUAUACAUAUAUAACUUCACAAAAAAAUUACAAACAUAACAAACAAACUUUUACAAUAACAUACCUUCUCAAUUGUUCUCCACCAAUCACCAAUCACAAAUAUCCCUAAUGAUAACAAAAUUAAUAGCGUUACUACGAAUUUACAUUAAUACAUUUAAACUAACGACAAAAAAUACAUACCCAAUGAACGUACUGAAUUCACAGCAGAACAACGGCAGGGAGAGUGAGAGAGAGGCAGAAUGCAAUUUCUGCAUUCUGCCUCUGCAAUGGCAGAUACUAAUAUGAAGAAGAAGGACUUUGCGCGACGAACACCCACAAUCCGUCGCGCAAAAUGCCGUCGCGAAAACCCACUUUUCAGUCGCACAAAAUAACAUUUCCGUCGCGCAAUUACCUGUCGACAUCUGCUUUUUUGCGCGACGAAUAACAUUAUUCGUCGCACAAAAUUUCGUCGCACAAGGUUUAAAUUACGUCGCGCAAAUUAUUUAUUUCGUCGCGCAAGGCAUUACACUUUACGCGACGAAAAUAAUUCCGUCGCGCAAAAAAAGUUUUAUCCACCCUGCAUUUUGCCGCCAAAAAUAAGUGUCCCUCGUUUUCUUACGCGACGGUACAUGUUUUCGUCGCGCUAAGUUGUCUUUUGCGACGAAAACUUUCGUCGCGCAAAGUUUUUUACCGCAAAAAAAAUUAGACAAUUUUCUGUCCAUCUUUACGCGACGAAUUUUUUGGAUUGUCGCGCAAUAUUGUCAUGCGCGACGAUCAUUAUCGUCGCGCAAGAUUCUGGCGCCAAAAAAAAAAACCGGGGUUUUUUCCCCGACCUUUGCGCGACGAAAUUAGUGUUGGUCGCGCAUAGAUUAUUUGCGCGACGAAACCGUUUCGUCGCGCUAGUGUUCUGUUGUUUGCGCUACGGUAUUUUUUUUUCGUCGUAAUAGUGAAGUUUGCGCGACGAAAACAUGUUCGUCGCGCAAACUUCCGUCGCGCAAAUAGUAAAUCGUAGUAGUGACUCCUGAUAUACUUUAGUGGCUAUGAAAGAAAAAGGCUAGAACAGGAAGAAAUAAUACUUAUGGCAUGUACACAAGAAGAAAAAAGAAAUAAUACUUACUCAGCAUAUAUCAAUAUACUUAUGGCAUGUAGAAGAUGAAGAAAUACAUAAAUAUAUAUAAGAGAAAUAAGAUUCAAAUUCAGAGAAAGGAACGCAAACAAAAGUUUGAGUAUAGGAGCUCUAGUGGCCAUACAUCUCCAAACCCUUCCGCUAUGUAAUAGUACGGGAAACUCCAAGCCGAAUCUUUCUUUCUCACUUAUUGAUUUUUCUCUUCUUUUUCUUCUUGGUCGUGCCUUUUUUUUUCAAUCAAGCCGCUUGCUUCAUUUUUUGUUUUGCUUACUAACUGUUAAUAUAUAAAAUAAAAUAUAAAAUAAAGCUAGAACAAGAAGAAUAAGAAUACCAAAAAGAUAUGGUACGCUCGACUUGUUGUAAUUCUUGUUGCCAACAUUGAUAAUUCCAACCCGACGGCUUUUUUUUGCAUAAAAUCUAUUGCGAGAAAUGUUGUGGUUUCCACCCAUCCUUGCUCGAUCACCACUUUCACCGUCUUCGUUGUAAGCCUCUUGAAUCCCAACAUCUAUGCUUUCAAAUGCGGGAAAAUAAUUCUCAUUAAUGUUGUUGGUCUCGUUGCCUUGAUCAGUAUUUUCUGCCUCACUAUUUUCAUUUUGCUGGAGCACUUGUUCAGUUCUUUCUCCUUGGGGCUCUUGUUCAUAAAGAGUUCUAGGGCGACCAUGAAAGCGGUUUCUUACCCUCUCUUGAGGGCUCUGGUUCAGUUGUGCAGCUUCAGUUCGAGAUCGAGACCCAUCUUAUAUAUAUGCAAAGAAUAAAAUGGACAGAUCUUCAAAUAAGUGCAUGCCAAUACUCAAUCAGAUGGAAGAUAAUCUUUCAAUAAAUGGAAGUUACUAUUGUAGACUAAUUUCAUAAAUUCCUUAAAACCUAUACACGCAUAGAAUCACAUCAAGGAAAAGAUCUUGAAUCAAAUAAAAAUAUUAAUCAUAAUAGUACAUACCUGCCAUUGAUGAAAGCUCAAAAGAAAGUCUUCUACUCUCCGUAGAGUUCUUAUGUUCAACUAGCAAUAUGGACUAGAUGUUUUGAACGGGUGUUUCUAAGAGAGCAUGGACCACUUCUUGAAAAUGGAAUAGCUUACUAUUAUGUAUGUGGAUUUAUUUAUUAAUCUCUGUGUUUUUUUUUUUUUGGUCAUAAGUUUAUUAAUCUUUGUUAUAUCUGCAGUAAUCCAAAUGAUCAACUUGGAAAAGUCUUCCCAGCAAAAAAAAAAAUAAAAAACUUGGAAAAGUCUUGUGAAAAAGGACUUUGUGUGUGUGUAGAAAGGUUCAAGUUUUUCAAUUUUUUUUUCGAAUCUUGACAAAAGAAAUAAAAGAAAAUAAAAUGGUUACAAACUAACAAUCGAAAAAGAAAUUAAGCAAAAUAAAACUUAGGCAAGCCAAAUCAAUCCAAAGAUACCAAUGGAACGAAGAUUCAAAUAAGUUGAUUUUUAUAGUUAAUCUCAGUUAUAUAUCUGAAAUAAUCAUGGGGCAUUCUAAAAGACGCAGUUCUUCCUCCCCUCUUCUAUCUUCUCUUCCUCCUUUCUCAUCUUCCCCUAUUUUCAGAUACAUAAGUUUUUCCCUAUUUGUCUUCUUUUUGUUAUGAUUUUCCUCCAACCAUCACAUGUGGCUCCAUCUUGGUGUCGGAUCUCCAUCUACAUUUUUGGCGUCGGAUCUGCACCAUCAUCAUUUUUACGAUUUUUUUGUGUUUGGAAUAAGUCACAAAGACUCUUUGGAUUCUUUGUGUAGUUUUCAUCUCGUUUUAUUUGUAUUGUUAUGACUUGGUUUUUUCAAGCUUUAUCUCUUUUUGAUUACUAUGAGUUUACAAUCUUAAUUAGGAUGCUUAUACUAGAGUUUCGAUCAUGAGUGAUCGUUAAUGGCGGCACACUAGAUUGUUUUAAUUUUGAUGUUAGAUCACUCUAUUAUUGCAAUUGUCCCUUGUGGCAAGUUUGUAUUGGCCAUUUGUGACUAGUGACUUUUUAAACUAAAUUAUAAAUGCAAUCCAAAAAUUUCUAAAAAAAAAAAAAGCAAAAACAAUUAAUAGUCAUGAUCGAUAGUGUAGUUGUUUACACCAUAAUGAACCGAGCAGACCCAGCACCAAAGUGACUAGCACCAAGGCAGCCACGCCUUCUCCUGUGCCGAAGGAAGACACACUUCCGAGGUGCCAGACACCUACCGAAGCUCCCAGCUGCCAAACCUAAUCUACAGGACACGUGUCGCCACCACAAUGGCUUGCACAAAGUCCCACAUUGGAACUUUGUGCAAAACUCCUACUCUCACCUCCCUAUAAAUAGGGAACAGUACCCAGGUACAAAGGACGACUAUUCUCCCACUUUUACUGUUACUCUGCCAGAAUUACUACUUGUAACUGACUUAGGCAUCGGAGAGCCUUCGGCCGGCACCACACCGGUGUCUGAAGCUUAACGAUUGCUUCUCCUCUUUUACCUUCUACAGGUCUCUCACCAACCCAUUUCACCAAGGGCCUCAGCCUUCUUCUCUGCUGAAGACUCAGCACAUCUAAUCACUAAGUUGCACUCAAUAUUGGCCGGGCCAUUUUGAGCAUCAACAGUAGUAAAAAAGGUACUCCUGUGGAAAAAAUAUUUGACUUCUUCGGACACGCACAUGCACAUAAAUUAUAUAAGAAAUUAUAAUUAGUGCUUGCAAUUAUAAAUUAUCUAGCUAAUUGAUUACUUUGAAUUUUUGUUUUGAUCACAUGCAGGACAAAGAAGACCACUCUUGUCCUAAUGCCCUCGGAGAAUGUAUAUUUUAUUUUAUUUUUUCAAAAACCUACUACAACUUUUCAAAUGGCAAAAACUAUUUCACUGAAAAUAAAAAUAUUAUGUAAAAAUAUUUUAUAUACUCGUGAUAUGUAUUAAAAUAAAAAAUUCAUUAUAAAUAUAAGCUAUAGUUGCCUGUGAUCAUCUGACACAUUAUAUAUUAUACUUGCAUUCCUACUGAGAAUUGAGGGGCUCAAGCAUCUUUGAUGCUUUCCAGUUUGUUUAUCGUAAAAUUACAACAACUUCCCCUCUUUUUUGCCGUAACGUUAGCAAAGAUACAAGUGAUAUUAAUUAUUGGAGCAGUACAUAAGCUUAAAAAUAGGCCCAGGUAUUGCUAUUAUUAAUUUAUGAUUUUAAAAUGUACAAAUUCUACAAUUUAAGGGAUUCAAAACUUCAACAGCGAUGUCGAGUCAAAUAAUACGGGGUAAAAUAUUUUUUGAUAUAUUUCUAUUCAUCAAAGUAAGGUAUUUAUAAUACAAGUAUGUAAACUCUAGUAGGGUUAUACAAGAAAACAAAUAAAAUUCUAAUUACACAAAAUUUGUACAAAAGAGAGAGAAAAAAAAUUCCAAUAGAAUAGGAAAUAAAUAUCCUAAUCAAAUUAGGAUCUUGUGAACAUAGUGAUGAUCACCGUAAAGUUCGUUUUAGUAUUCGAAAAUACAUAAUACGGUCGGUUAUAAUAAACGAAUUUUUUGAUAACGAGAGAUUUGUUCUAUCUAUUAAUGUUCGUAAAACUUCAUUUUUCACGAAAAUCUGAUGAACGAACUCUGCUUCUUCAUUUUCCAUUUUUAUGGUUCGUAAAAUAAUGCCACUGUUGCUGAACUUGAGAGAGAGGAGCAUUAAUAUUGUAUAUUGACGACCAUCAACAUAAUACAUAUUUUUAUUUUAUUCAUCAAAUUAAUAGUACAUAUAAUUAAGAAGGGAGGGGAGGCCCUAGCUAGCUACAGACCUCAGUGAGUCAUCAGUUCUGCUUCGUCUUCAUCAGUACUGGAUGUCGAGUCAGUUUCUCCACCGGAGUCGACUAGUUAUUCUUUGCCGUGGCCUUUGUAGAUGUGGGUGUUGCCAAACUCGAAAAUUCCUACUCUCUCCGAUUUUUUCCCCGUAAUAUUAUUCCCAACGAUGCUGAAGUCAUUGCCUCUUCGGCCCAUGUCUUUUUUCUUACCUCUCUCAUUCUUGGGUUGCAGAGUUUUGGUGCUCACUGAUGGGGAUUUCGAGCUGUUGCUGUUUUGUUGGUCGGUGUUGGCCUUAGAAGAAUCCUCAGAACCUUGUUUCUGAUCACCAAGUGGAGGCUUCAGAUAUAGCCAGCCGGUAGACAUUUUCACCGCUUGGGAUCCUUGUCUGGUUUGUAAUUUAUCCAUAUAUAUAAAGGCGGAAAGCCUCAAAAGCCCAGAAUACCCUUGGUAACCUAAAAUACUAAAUCGCAUGAUUUUAAUUAAAAUAGGAUAAAACUGUAAAACAAAAAUUAAUAAAAGAAAAAUAAAAACCAGCAGAAUUUAUUAAUUUUUGCAAACACGUCCUGGAGAAAUCGCUAGCCCAAUUCAUACACCUUCAUCAGAGGUCUUGGGUGGUUCCUUCAAGUGUGGCUCAUUCUAUUAUUGGAAUACAAUCAAGCAUUUAAUCUCGCUAAAAUUUCAACCAAGCUUCAAGCCCACUGACAUAAUCAAAACUAAACUCAGCAAAAGUACUAAUUUAGUUCGCGGCUGCACCUCUGUGAAAUCUCAGGCUACCUAUAUACCUCUUUGUAAGGGAUUAAGCCACAAGUAGUUCUUAUCUCAAUAAUCAGCAGCACUCACAUAGAACAUUCAUAACUUAUGUAGUCAUUCUCUAUCAACCGGUACAAGUGAAUUAUCCGCCACGAUUCAUAGUAAACAAAAUUAUUGUAGCUACCUCUUUUCUAUAUCCAACUAAAAACAAGCUAAGUUGUAAUCUAUAUACUCAAGAUAUGGUACAAUUUCACAAUGUAGUCCCACAUACAUAAACAACCAUAAGAGCAUACACCACAUACAACUACCCUUCCCGGCAAACAUGCCUUUUUCCGAGUCGCCUGGAUACCCAAACAUAGAAUGGUCCGAUUAAUCUUAUGAAACACACAAGUUAUAUACGAGAUUCCACAACUACCAAGGAGUAUAACAAUUCGGAAAAUAUACAAAUAUCGUCCAAGCAAAACCAACAAUUAAAUUUAGAUUCAUUCUCAACUUCAAUUUCCCCAAUGCAUAUAACUAAAUAUUUUACAAAUUCCUUUCUUCCCAUGAUUCAUAACUCAAAACCAUUUCCCUGUAAAAACUCACAUGUACUAUGCACAACUCUUUUAAAACUAAUCAUUUACUUUGAACUCAAAUUACUUUUCCAAAAUCAUUUCUUUCCUGUAACCAUACCAUAUCCAAGGCGUAUAUUGUAAAACAACACUAUCCAAACAUUGUAACAAUGAUCACACCUGUGCAGAGCACUCACCAAGUUGACACGCUCAAGAAACCCCAACCGGAAAAUGAAUCCGCAUAUUUUCCCACAUAUAUACAUACAUAUAUAUACCCCGCACCAUCAUCAUGUACCAGGGGAAACCAAUCUAACAUGGGGAUUGUUUGACUAAACCGCAUGAAAGAAUCCUCAAUUGACCAUGUGGCUAGGGAGCAAGCGUCCAACUGGGGCACUGGGCUCUCCAGCUCGCACAAUAGAAUCCUCAAUACUUGUACGACUGUGAUAAGUCCUACGCACGCAGUUUGCUCCCCCAAGGGUGCCUGGGUUAACAUAUCCAAGUAUCCAAGUGCCGGGGAGGUACAUAUCAUAGUGCACAUCAUGCACAUCAUGUACCGAGGAAACAAUCCAACCGGGGGAUUGUUUGACUCAACCACAUGGAAGAAUCCUUAAUUGACCAUGUGGCUAAGGAACGAGCCGUCCAACCAAGGGACUAGGCUCACUAGACCACACAUCGGAAAUCUCAAUACACAUGUGACUGUGAAAAGUCCUACGCGUACAGAUUGCCCGUCAAGGCUUACGGCACACCCGAUCAAAGGUGCCUAGAUUCCAAAGUAACCAAGUAACCAUUGUUUCCAAUAUCCAUGUGCCGGGGAUGUACAUAUGAUGGUGCAAUACACGAACCUAUAUAUAUAUAUGAUAUAAAAUAAUAUACCCUCCCUUAAUUCAAAAUUCUCAAUAUUUCAAUAUACCAAAAUAUUUAUUCAUAGUAUAGAAAAUAAACUCUCAAAAGCAUAAAUUCCAUAACAAAAUCUCAUAAUCCCAUCAAGACCCAAAUAAUUCAAAUAAUAAACAUAACCUGUUUGUACAUGCAAUUUCCAUAAAAUACUUUCAUAAUCGAACCCCAUAUCACCCAAUCCAAAUACUUUGAAAAUAACCAUAGUAAUACUAACUAUGUAUUCUCAAGUCACAGUGUAAAUGCCGAAACCAAUCCGAUAGUACAUUUUCAUAACUCCAUUAACCAAAUACUAAUUUCCAAACUAUUCAGGUUUCCACCAUCAAAUUCAAAGUCUAGGCUCGCACAAAAAAUAUGGUCAUUUAACAUCAGAUCACGGAUAAAUUCACACUAUUCCCAUAUCCCAAUUUAUAUCACAAAUAAACACACACAUAUACACGCAUUUCAAUAUUCCAAAAGCAAUGCACAUUUAAAACAAUUGUCCACUCACUUCCAAAUAAUCAUAGCCGAGUCCCAAGACUCGAUUUCACAACUAGUCAAUCAAGUAUCCCAUAACCACAAAAUACUAUAAUUCACGACAGUCGAGAUAAUCAAAUAUCCAUAUGCAUGACAUUUUAUAAACGCAUAACCUUCCAACCUCAAAAAUAAAGAUCAAUAAAAGAAACACGAAGCUUACCCUCAGAAGGCUCUCCCUCUGAAGUACGUGAAGUGUGGGUACCUCACUCGAGAGCAUAAGCGGAUCUAAUUAAUGAGUGUACCCAACAACGAACUUUAACUCAACACUUAAGUUCCUGGGUCCCAAGAUAAAUGUGCAAGACUAUUGGGGAGUUCUUAAGGUCAAUCUAAUGCUUUUCAAAAGGUGAAAGUACCUCGUAAGAUAGACUCACAGUCAACUGAGGGGUCAAAUUCCACAUAUUGGUUAACCGGGCCCGUGGGGCCCACAUCCUCCAAUUUCGAUAUGAAAGUUCCUAUGGGUCCAACAAAGUCCACUAAACAAGUCCUAUAAGUUUGGUCUCGAUCGAGCAGUCGAAUGUAAGCCAAUCGCACGUUUAGACGGCUAACGCUUCACCUAACCCUAGAAUUAAUGAUUCAGAGUAUUUAGGACUCCCAUUCUCGAUCCGUGAGUUCCUACACAAUCCUAGAGGUAGAGAGAACAACAUAUUUGAAAUUGAGACCGAUCGAAUGAUCUAAACCUAUCGAACCUGGAUAUCGCAUAUUAGUACAAUAUCUGUUCUACUAUCAGACGGUAACCAAUUCCAAAUACGAGCAUAUCAUGCUCAGAACGAUAAUGGGAACAUUUUAGAACAUAAUGGGUCAUCACUCAGUGGCCCACGCACUGCCGGCAAUGCGUAGGUGUCUUGAGAAAUUUUCGAAGACGGAAAUUUCUCGAAACACCCUACAAUACCUAUACCAACACGUUCAAACUAAUAAGGGGAGCAUUUUUGGUUCUUGGACCAUGGCCAAAAGCUGACUGGAACUAGCCGGAAUGAAGCCAAAACCGUCACCAUAAUUGGGGGUUAGAAAUCGAUCUCUAAAACCUCAAAGUCGAUCUACAACACCUAUAUAAACAGGUAGAGCAUGAAGAGAGGAUGAAGUUUCAUGUCUCACUCGACUAAAACGGUGGCCGGCGGCGUCGAAAACUUUGACAAUCGCCGACACUUCCAGUUGUUCCAGCCACGAGUCCUUAGGUUUUUGAGCUGGGAAACGGGCUGAGUUAAGUAGAGGACAAAGAUACAAAGAUUUUGGGAUUGGUCUCGCUAGAAUGGUGGCCAAAAUUGGGAGAAAUCGCCUACCAAAGUCGUUGGCAGGUUACGCGUAAAGGGGGGGGGGGGAGAGAGAGAGAGAGAGAGAGAGAGAGAGAGAGAGAGAGAGAGACUAGGAAGAGUCGGGGGGAAAAAGAAAGAAGAAGAGAAAAAUAAAGGGCUGGGCACUAUAGCAUUGCUACUGUAGUGGGAUUGUACCAUUGUUACUGUAGAUCAGAUAUUUUCUAUAAAGAAAAUUACUAAUUUGCCCCUUUUGAUUUUCAGUUCUUUCACCUUCGUUAAAACUCAGAAUUGAGCCUGCCAUCUAUCUAUGAACUCGUAUCGACGGGCUCUACGCAGCAAUGCCACUCAAUUCCCCCAAAAUCCUGCAGGAUCAAAAAGUGACUAAAGUGACCAUACCCUCAAAGGCAAAAUUGUAAUUUCAUAUAUAGAAAUAAAUUGAAUUAAACAAUUAAAUAGGGUCAGGGGUGUUACAUUUUUCUACAAUGGCAUAUUUUUUGUCUUCACCAGCACCAAAGGGGGAACAGACGAACCAAAGAAAAACUGUGCACAACAAAACAAUGCUGAAAUUACUAGGACACGCAUAGAAGUUUUAAUACUAAUUAAAUGGUAACAAAAAAAAUAAAUAAAUGUCAUACGUUAUCUAAACGAAUAAAUAAAUAAAUAAAAAAUUUCCCCCCUAAGAGGCUUUUUAUUUAAAAUAAUAUUAGGCUUACCACAUUUUUAUUCCAUUGUACAACAUAAGAAGAUUUCAACAUUCAAAAAUACUGUAAGAACUGAAUCAUACCCAACUCAAAAUAUGAUGAAACUCGACUAGUAAAAUGAUGUUAUAUCAACUAGGUACAAAAACACAUACAUUUAAAAUAUGGUGCAAAGUAAUAGUUGUGUGUGACUUACCUUUGUUGAUCAAUAAUUGCAGUUUAAAUCGUGAUGAAACUAUAGAAAAUAUGAGUGCUAAAUUGCUAUAAAAUAAACAAAUAAACACUACAAAUAAAACAGAUUUUACAACAGCAGUAUGUAAUUAAAAGAACAUUAAUUGAGUCGAGGCAAGUGUUGGACACUCUGACCUUAAGAUGAAUUACGCCCCACACUGGUGUUUAUGGUUCUCUAGCGUUCGCCUCCCAGGAUACAACGACUCUCCUCCUUAUGAAAGAAGCACUCCAAUUCACAAGGAACUUUUAAUUACAUACUGCUAUUGUAAAAUCUGUUUUGUUUGUAGUGUUUAUUUGUUUAUUUUAUAGCAAUUAGCACUCAUAUUUCCUACAAUCUUAAGAUGAAUUAUUUGUGUUAAUUGCUAUAUACAUUAAUCUGUGUUUAAUUGCCAUGUACAUAAAUCUAUGUUUGUGUAUUUAAUUGUUAACGUUGCAAAGGAUUUGAUUUUGGUACAAACAGCAAAACAUCUUUGUAUUAUUUGUUUAUUCUAUUGAAUUGGUUUCCUGUUAGUUUCUUUUGUUUUAUACAAUUCAAAGUUAAACAAAUCUAAGUUAUAAUAAUUGGGACUAUUCAAUAAAGAUUGCCACAAACACUAAUUGCCUUCUGUUUCUAUUGUUAGACAAAGUCUACAUAUACAGCAUCGGUUUUUAUUUAUUUAUUUAGAAUCUGUUUUCUGUUUGGCAUCAUUUUUUAUUAUUCUGUUUAUAAAUUCUGAUUAUAUUUAUCUACAUACAUUAAUAUUACUGUACCUAUGAAUUAUAGCAUUCUGUAUUACUGUUAUCUUGAAUAAUUGCAUAUUGCGUUUGCUAUACUUUUUAUCGGUAUUGUAUUAUUAAUUUCUGUGUGUUUUGUUGUAACACACUAUUGUGAUUCAUAAUUUAUCUAUCAAAGACUAUCAAAUAUUUAUUUAUUGACAUUGAGAUUGUUCACUCUUAAGGAAAAUGUCGAAUGAGAUACAGAAAGUGGGUCCUUCUGUGAAGACAAGUGCACCUGCUGUAGUGUUGCCUUCAUCCCAUAAUCAUGCAGAGAAGCCUGAAAAAUUUAAUGGGAUGGAUUUUAAGAGAUGGCAACAAACGAUGUUGUUCUACAUCACCACAUUGAAUUUGGCUCAUAUCCUGAAAGCAGAUCCUCCUGGACCUGGUGAUACAAUAGAAACAGUGGCUGCUUCUGAUGCAUGGAACCAGUCGGAUUUCCUUUGCAGGAAUUGCGUCCUAAAUGGUUUAAGUGAUGCACUAUACAAUGUGUAUAGUCCAAUUCAGACUGCCAAGGCUUUAUGGGAGUCACUAGACAAGAAAUAUCGAACCGAAGAUGCAGGAAUGAAGAAAUUUAUUGUCGGUCGGUUUCUUAACUACAAGAUGGUAGACUCCAAGACUGUCAUAAGUCAAGUCCAAGAACUCCAACUCAUUCUACAUGAGAUACAUGCAGAAAAGAUGGAAUUGAGUGAGUCUUUCCAAGUGGCCACUGUCAUUGAAAAACUACCACAAUCUUGGAAGGAUUUCAAAAACUACCUUAAGCAUAAGCAUAAGGAGAUGGGACUUGAGAAUUUGAUAGUAAGGCUAAGGAUCGAAGAGGACAAUCGCCGUGCUGACAAAAAGUCUGGAUCCAUAAUGGAAGCUAAGGCUAACAUAGUGGAAAAAGAGUCAAGAAAUAACAAAAAGAGGAAGCACUCUGGAGAAGGCUCAAGUCAAGGGAACUCCAAGAAGUCCAAGGAAUUUAAGGGAAAGUGCUUCAAUUGCAACAAGCAAGGGCAUCGAGCUGUGGAUUGCCGAAGUAGAAAUGGACAAGGCAACCAAAAGAAAAAGGGCAAGACUGAGGCACACAUGACUGAAGAAGACAAGCUUUCAACUGAUUUGUCAUAUAUUAAUCUUUCUGCAGUCGUGUCUGAAGUGAACUUGGUGGGCAACACCAAGGAAUGGUAGGCGGAUACUGGAGCUACACGCCACAUAUGUUAUGAAAGGAAAAUGUUUUCUACAUAUGAAGCAAAUGAUCAAAGAGAGCCUUUAUUCAUGGGAAACUCCUCCACCUCCAAAAUUCAUGGCCAAGGGAAAAUAGUUCUAAAGAUGACAUCUGGAAAGGAAGUCACUCUCAAUAAUAUACUUCACGUCCCUGAGAUCCAGAAGAACUUGGUUUCUGGAUCACUGCUUAGCAAGUGAGUUUUGUUCCCAACACGGAAUUAUUCACCAAACUACUGCUCCAUACUCACCUCAGCAAAAUGGUAUUGCUGAACGCAAAAACCGUACUUUGAAAGAAAUGAUGAAUGCUUUGCUAGUAAGUUCUGGAGCAACCCAGAAUUUGUGGGGGAAAGCUUUACUUUCUGCUAAUUACAUUCUCAACAAAUUGCCUCAUAAAAAGUUAGACAAAACACCUUAUGAGUUAUGGAAAGGUUACAAGCCUUCCUAUAAAUACUUGAAAGUCUGGGGGUGUCUAGCUAAAGUUGCGGUUCCAACCCCUAAAAAGGUUAAGAUAGGACCCAAAGCUAUUGACUGUAUCUUUAUUGGUUAUGCCAUUAACAGUAGUGCAUAUCGUUUCCUUGUACACAAAUAUGAUAUAUUAGAUGUACAUGUGAAUACGAUUAUUGAAUCAAGGAAUGCAUCUUUCUUUGAAAAUGUAUUUCCUUAUAAGGAUGCACAAGAAAGAAAUACACUUAAAAGAACCUUUGAUACUGUUAAUAGCGAUAGCCAAGAAAGUCAUCGAGAAAAUAUAGACAAAGAGACUACAGAACCAGAACCUGGACAUGAACCUAGGCGUAGUAAGAGAGCUAAGACAACCAAAUCCUUUGGUCCUGAGUUUCUAACUUAUUUGUUAGAAAAUGAGCCUCAAACCUACAAAGAAGCCAUGACUUCUUCUGAAGCUCCAUUAUGGAAAGAGGCUAUUAAUGCCGAAGUUGAAUCCAUCAUGCAGAAUUACACUUGGGAACUUGUGGAUCUUCCUCCUGGAAAUAAACCAUUGGGUUAUAAAUGGAUUUUUAAGAAGAAGAUGAAAGCUGAUGGAUCAAUUGACAAAUACAAGGCAAGGCUUGUUGUCAAAGGUUAUAAGCAAAGAGAAGGAUUGGAUUACUUUGACACAUAUUCACCAGUUACUAGAAUAACAUCGAUAAGAAUGUUAAUUGCACUUGCAGCAUUGCAUAAUCUUGAGAUACAUCAAAUGGAUGUGAAAACGGCCUUUCUAAAUGGUGAUUUAGAUGAGGAAAUUUAUAUGGAACAACCUGAAGGGUUUAUUGUUCCUGGACAAGAAAAGAAAGUCUGUAAGCUUGUUAAGUCUUUGUACGGGUUAAAGCAAGCACCAAAACAAUGGCAUCUGAAAUUUGACAAUGCACUAAUGUCAAAUGGUUUCAAGAUCAAUGAGUGUGAUAAAUGUGUUUAUACGAAAAGCACUCAAGAUGGUUUUGUAAUUAUUUGUCUUUAUGUUGAUGAUAUGUUAAUUAUUGGUAGCAAUAUUGGGAUGAUUAAAUCUACCAAGAAAAUGUUGACCAAUAAUUUUGACAUGAAAGAUUUGGGAGAAGCAGAUGUGAUUCUAGGGAUUAAAAUUUCUAGAACAUCUGAUGGACUAGUGUUAUCCCAAUCACAUUAUAUUAACGGAUGCAACAGGUGAAGCCUUUCUCAGGUGUGGUGUUGCCAAAGUUGGGAUACCCAACAUUCCCGGCUCCUUGACGUGCAGUUAUUGUAUUGCCACAAAUGUAGUGACCACCACCUUGACCUCAUACAUUAUGAAAGUUUGACACCCCAACAUUCUGACUGCAGUGGCGACGACAGGAUUUUAUGUGUGUGGAGUCAUCUCAUAAAAUAUAAACAAUAAAAAAUUCAAACUCAAGACAUUCCAAAAUAUCAAAAAUAAUAUUAUCUAUUCAUUACAAUCAACCACACAAACAAAAUUUCAUUAAAAAAAAAAAAUUCAUUACAAUUCAUAAUUGUCCUUAACAAGUUUUCAUAUUUUGAAAUCGUUGCAUAACAACCGCAUCAUCUAUACUAUUAAAAAAAAAAAUUUCAUCAACCAAGCAGUCAUUCAUCUAUGACCUAAUUUUAAAACUUGAUAAGGCCAAUGGGUUCAACCACAGUGGUGGUGACUUCACCCUUCUUCCCCUGGCACUCCCGUUCGAAACCCCAUGUGUGCACAUUGGUGCUUGAGCCCCCCUCCCCUUAGAGUAGCCUAUCGUUGUAUGAAAAAAAUAAAAAAAUAAAAAAAUAAAAAAAUAAAAAAAAUAAAAAGAUAAUAUAAUACUGAGUUUAAGAAAAAAACCCACAAACAAAGAGAAAGUUUGCUCCCGCUAAGAACAUAGAAAAUUGGAUUAAAAUCCCUUUGCUUUUUAGCAAUUUGUGUACAAAGGUAAUAUUUGUGUUAAAAGGUAAUAUAAUAAUCAGUCCUGAUCUCUUGGACCACAGGAGCCCAAGAGAUUGUGGUCAAAUAAAUAUAGCUCCAGUAUUGGCCAUAUAAUCGCUGCCCCAAUCUGAAUAUAAACAAGAAUGAGGAUACAAAUAAUUUGUACUCAUUCAUAUUUCCUCGCUAAAUAAUCUAUUAACAAGAAAUUUUUGGAUAAUUUAAAGAAUUUCUAGUCCCUAAUGGCUUUAUUUCAUUGAUUGCUACUUUUAGCAAUUUAAUACUUAAUGCAUGCAAUUGAUAUUCAUAUAUUAUAGAAUUUUCAUUUGGGACUCUUCAGAACAAUUUUGUAAUCAGAUUUGGGGCUCUAAAUGCCAAACUAUUGAAUNNNNNNNNNNNNNNNNNNNNNNNNNNNNNNNNNNNNNNNNNNNNNNNNNNNNNNNNNNNNNNNNNNNNNNNNNNNNNNNNNNNNNNNNNNNNNNNNNNNNUGUGGUCCAAGAGAUUGGGACUGAUAUAAUAAUAGUUUGGGUUAAUUAUUGUAGACGUCUCUGAAUUUGGCCCCCAUUUGCAAUUGGGUUCGUGAAUUUUUUUUUUGGGCAAUUACAUCCGUUAACUCGAUAAAUAGUUUCAAUUGGGUCCUGCCUUCCAAUUCUGUCAAUUUAUGUGUCAAAGUGAGAGGGUAAAAGCAUCCUUUCAGGUUCUUCAUCCAUCAUUGACCCCAACUCCACCUUCUUCAUCCAUCAUCAACGCUAACAACCCCGCCUCCAUCUUCACAAGUUUACAAUACAAAUUCAUAUCAAAUAGUUUGUGAUUGGUAGAAACCACAUAGGAUUUACUUGGCGCUAUUUACAGUUUGUAAAAUUGAAAAGAAAAAAUGAAAAAACUCAAAAAACUGAAAAAGCAUCUAUACCUCUCUGUCUCUCUCAGCUCUCCCUCUCUCCAGCAACGCAUUCCCCCUCCUCCUUAGCCCACUCCCUCAAAACCCAUAUCCCAACCCAACCUGCAACCCACCCCCCAUCUCCCAACCUGUAAAACCCAGAACCCACCCUCAACCCCAUCCCCUCAGCUCUCCUCCUCCGCUACUGCCGUAACAGCGGCGACGCCCUUGGCCCCAUAAUGAACGCCACCGCAAUCGCCAUCUACGACACGACGUUGGUAGACGUGGCCAAACCCAACGCCGUCAACUUCUGCACUUGUUUCACUAUCUACGCCAGGUGCUGUGACUCCAGCUUCACCACCGAGCUCACGAUGGCUAGCUCCGAUGUGAUUCUAUUUCUCCGAUUUUGCUUGUUGUUUGUUGUUUGUUGAAUUGAUGAAUUUGUGAACUGCAUUUUGUUGGUGUUUGUGAUUAGAUCAGGAUUUUCGUUCAAUUUGGGGAAAAAAAUUUGUUGGUGUUUGUGAUGAAUUUGUGAACUGCAUUUUCCUUUUUUUUGGGUCGAAAACACACUUUCAUUUACGAAAGGGAAAGAGAGGGCCACAGCCCCAUUACAACCAAGAAACAGCACCAAAUAAAACAACAACCCAGGCUAACAAAAGUAAACCCCAGGGAACAAUACAAGGAGCCACAGAGGCCGACUACACCAGUCUGAGCCAAAACCAAAAAGAGCCACCAACCAGCUAGGAAAAUCAACCUAGGACGCUGCCCCAGAAGACGAGCGUCAACUCCUAACUGGGCAAAAAGACCUUAGCUUUGCGGAGGACAGGGAAGUUUGUUGGGCAACUUUGAUCAUAUUUGGGGAAAAAAUUUCCAUAUGAUUUUGUUUUUGGAUUGUGGUUAUGUUCAAUCCAUUCUGAAAAUGACGCUUUUAUCCCUAAUUUUAACGGGCAAAUUGACAGAGUUGGAUGGCAGGACCCAAUUAGAACAAUUUAUCGAGUUAACAGAUGUAAUUGCCGAAAAAAAAAUUCACGGACCCAAUUGCAAAUGGGGGCCAAGUUCAGGGACGUCUAUAGUAAUUAACCCUAAUAGUUUUAUUACAACUUUUGGGAAUGGGUUUGCAAGAGAAGACGUAGUCUUGGAGGAAACGUAGGUUUGGUUGGGUAGGGCCCCACGUGGUAAAAUAAAUAUGUUAAUUAACUAUAUGGAUUAGGCUUAAUAUCACAAAACGUCCCUAAGGUUUACGAAACUAUCCUAUUGCAUCCUUAUUAUUUUUUUAUGUCAUUCGUGGUCCUGAAUGUUAGUAUAUGUGCUCAUAAAUGGUUCCUGUCGUCAGGUUCCAUCAAAAACUCAGUUAAUUUGCUGACAUAACACAUAUAUAUUUUAAAAUAAUUUCAAAUUUAAAAUUCAUAAAAGACUUUAUAUCACAAAACUAUCAAAUUGCAUCCUUCUUAUUAUUUUUUUUUUGUUUUUAAUAUACACUCACAAAUGGAGUUUUUUGUUUUUU